AUGAGCAACUUACAAUUGACAAACAUGCUCUGGAGGGACUUGUUCACAACCUAACCGAGGUCAGACAUCUGUUUUUGGAUGGAAUCAACAUGACUUCUGUUAAUGCUCAUGUCUUCAUGAAUCUAUCCUCUUCUCUAAGAUCUCUCAGUCUUGCUGGUUGUGAUUUGCAAGGAAAAUUCCCAAAAAACAUUUUUGAUUUGCCAAACCUCAAUCUCCUCAACUUGGGAGGCAACCAAUUGAGUGGACAAAUUCCAAGAUCAUUGGGGAACCUCUUGCAACUCACUGUUUUAGACUUGUGGGGGAACAAAUUGAGUGGACAAAUUCCAUUGUCAAUUCUAAACCUAACGCAGUUGGAAUACUUGGUAAUAUCUGAAAAUUCUUUAGAAGGUUCUAUUCCAGAUGAGGUAACCGCUGUUCCGAAUCUAAUAUAUUUAGUCUUAUAUGACAAUUUACUCAAUGGAACACUUCCGUCAUGGUUGUAUACUGCUCCCUCCUUAAAGGGUAUAAUUCUCUCUCAAAAUCAAUUCAGUGGGCAUAUCAAAGAAUUCCAAACCAAAUCACUAGAAUAUUUAGAUCUAGAAAAUAAUAAACUCCAAGGUCCCCUUCCAUCUUCAAUAUUCCAACUUCUCAAUCUUACCGGGCUCCUUUUAUCCUCAAAUAAUCUUAGUGGUGUCAUAGAGUUUCGCAUGUUCUCAAACCUUCCAAAUCUCAAAUAUCUUUACCUUUCAUAUAACAACCUAUCCUUAACAUCUAAUUCUACUUCUACUGUUAAUCAUAUAUUGCCUAAUCUUACAGACGUACUUUUGUCAUCUUGCAAUCUUAGUGAAUUCCCCCAGUUUUUAAAAGGGCUUAAAAGUUUGGAAAGCUUAGACCUCUCUUGCAACAAAAUUGAAGGCAAGAUUCCACAGUGGAUGCAAGAGGUGGGGAAUGUCUCUUUGACUUACUUCAACGUAUCUCACAACUCUUUGACAGAAGUUGAGCACUUUCCAUGGAAGAAUAUUGAAAGGCUUGACUUAAGCUCCAAUUUGAUCAGUGGAAAUCUUCCGAUUCCAGCUUCGACCAUCAGUGUCUUUUUUAUCUCAAAUAAUAGUUUCAAUGGAGAGGUCUCUUCUUUAAUAUGCAAUGCCAGUUCUCUUCGAAUUCUUGAUUUGUCCCACAAUAACUUGAGUGGACCAAUUCCGCAAUGUUUUGGAAAUUUGAGUGACAGCCUUGAAAUCUUGAAUCUGAAGAAGAACAAGUUCUAUGGGACGAUUCCUCCAAAAUUUGCAAAGGGAUGCCGAUUGACUAAUUUCAACUUAAAUGGAAAUCUGUUAGAAGGGCCAUUGACUCCAUCCAUCCUUAAUUGUAGGGGUCUGGAAGUGCUAGAUCUUGGUAACAACAAGAUCAAUGAUACAUUUCCUCAUUGGUUGGGAAGUCUUCCACAGCUACAAGUUCUUGUAUUGAAGUCAAAUCAUAUGCAUGGUUCCUUAUGUGUCAAUAGCUCUAAGUCUAGCCCUUUUUUCUCUAAAAUCCAAAUUUUUGACCUCUCAAGUAACUAUUUUUCUGGACCCCUACCAGUGAGAUACAUCAACAGCUUCAAGGCUAUCAUAAAUGUAGAGAAGAUUGGUAGUACAGUGUCGUACAUGGGGGUGAAUGAUGAUGGAGGUGACUUCUAUACCUAUUCCAUUGGAAUUGUCAUGAAAGGGAGAGAUAUGGAAUUGGUGAAAAUUUUCACCAUGUGGAUGAUCAUUGAUCUAUCAAACAAUCAGUUUGAAGGGGGUAUUCCAGAGGUUUUUGGGAAGCUUAACUUACUGAAAGGGCUCAACCUUUCUCAUAAUAACCUUAAUGGUGGUAUCCCCACCUUAAUAGGGAAUUUGACAAGUCUUGAAUGGUUGGACCUAUCUUCAAACAGGUUGUCUGGGACGAUUCCAAAUAGAUUGGCAGAUCUGCCAUUUCUUUCGUCCUUCAAUGUUUCUGAAAAUCAACUCCAUGGUCAGAUUCCUCAAGGCAAACAGUUCAACACAUUUGGAAAUGAUUCAUAUGAAGGAAACAAGGCAUUAUGUGGAUUUCCGGUCUCAAAAGGUUGCAACAUCAUUGAGCCAGCACCUCCAAAUGUGCUUGAAAAAGAUGGCUCAAAAUCAAACAUUACUUUUGGUUGGAAAGUGGUGUUGAUAGGUUAUGGAUGCGGAGUGGUGUUCGGAAUGUCCGUGGGAUAUGUUGUUUUCCAAACUGGUAAGCCGAAAUGGUUGGUGAAUUUGGUUGAAAUCCAACAUGAGAAGAAGCGAAGAAGAAAGUCAAAGGAUGGCAGUCGCAGCAAUGGACGAAGAAGAAUCUAGUUAGUGGAAAUGAUGUUCAAGUGUUGAUGUUGUAUCUUCAUAAUUUCUUGUUUUGAAGUCUGUCAAAUUUUUUUCCUAUCGUGAAAGGCUGCAUUGCCAUGCAUCUGUCUUUUUUAUUGUAACCAUUCAUCUAUAUUUCAUUGCAUUACGUAGUAUUUGUAAGGGUUUGUUUUAAAUGUAACAUUUUGUAUGGUUCAACUAUUUAUGUCUCUUUCAUGAGUUUCAUUUUUGAGUCUCAAUAAUCUCUGCAUUCAAGAUUUUGUCAGCUUAUUAAUUGGUGGAUCAAUAAUCUUCAUGCUCAUCUCAUCAUCUUUUUCUCGAGUUAAACACAGUCACUACUAUAAUAAUUUCUUCUGUGUGGAAAAUAAUUUGGCAUUCUGCAAAUUUCCACAAUGCUUGUGGAUUACCUCUGGUUGACGGCUAUACAUAUAAAGGAAGGAAACAAGACUAUGUCAAAAUUUCCAAAAAUCAGUCAUUCAUUUUUGAACAAUUAAACAUUCCUAUUCUAUUUUUCAAAAUUGUAAAUCCUCAAAUAAUGUAAAUUAGUCCUAAAACUCAAGUUUUGAAAUCUUUACAAUUUAACCCCUUAUAGUUUCAAACUUUACUAUUUUAUGCUCAACUUUCUAAAUCUUCAUAUUUCAUGAUCAUAUAAUUUAGUUAUUACAUCAAUAUUUCAGAUUUCACUACUCAAACCCUUACUUCAUUUUGGUCCUUACUUCAAUUUUUUCAAAUUAAAUCAAUUUUCAAUUUGACUGCAUUGAUGUGAAAUUGAGGGAGCACUAAACAAUGUUGAUGCGAGUUUAGGUAAAAUUGGUGGAUCCCAUCUCCUUAGUAAUUUCUUUAUGGAAGUAGCUGCUUUCACACUGCAAACUUGAAUAGUUUGUGGUGGACGAUGAUGAAUCAUUUGACAAUCAAACACAUAAUUUUUAAACACAAAAUUAACGAUAUUUUGAAAUCAUUAUUGAAAUUAUAAUCAAAAUUAAUACAUGUUCUUUUUAUUAGCUUAAGGUCGUAAAAACCCUUCAAAAUUUUCAAAAAAAAAAAAAAUUUAAGUCCCUCUUUUUUUUUUUCUAAUUUUUAAUAAAAGUAGGGGCUUAAUUGCUUUUUUUUUUUUAAGUUUGAGGGUCUUUUUGAUGCAUUUUGAAAGUUCAAGUACCCAAUUGAGUGCAAGAAGAAAGUAGGGGCUUAAUUGCUUUUUUUUAUGUAUUUUGAACGUUCAUGUACCCAAAUGAGUGCAUAAAAAAAACAGGGGUUUAGUUGCUAUUUUUGAAAAGGGUUUGAGGGCUUUUUGCACCCUUAAACCUCUUUUCUUUUUCUAAAUUUAAUUUAGAACCAACUUUGAGUAAAGACUUGGGAAAUUUAAUUAGCAAAAUUUCUUUCCAUGUAAAUAUUUCCCCUAUUUCUUGUUGGAAUUUAAAGCAAUACAAUAUUUUUGUAGCUAGUAACAGAAAACGACAGUCAAUUAAUUCCAAGCAAUACAAAAUAUCCAGUCUGGUGGAAAAUUUGUUUGUUAGAUUCUAUUAUUCAACUUUUAAGGCAUAAGUCUGAAUAUAGGGACUAAAUUUUUAAAGUGUUGUUUAUUUUAAAAUCUAUUAAUAUAUACACACUUAGGGACCAUAUAUAUAUAUAUCAUAUAUAUAUAUAUAUAUUCCAUUCUGGAUCUUUGUCGUGUUUUGUUGGUUGGCUCUGGCCUUGUUGUUGUUUCCACUGCCUGUGGUCUCUGUUUCUAAGUCAUAUGUGGCCUUGUUUGCUAGACCUUAGUUGCUCUUCACAUGUCUUGUAUUUUGUCAAGUUAAUUGAAAUGGAAAAUAAAAGUGUUGGCAUUACAGAUUAGAGUAAAAGGAAUUAGUGUUGAAGUUGGGGUUGUUCAAUUGUUGGAAUUCAUGUGUGUAUUUUUUUGAGUAUCUGGGUCUUUGUCGUGUUUUCUUGGUUGGCUAUGGCGGCCUUCUUGUUGUUCCCACUGUCUGUGGUAUUUGUUUCUAAGUCAUAUGUGGCCUUGUAUGCUAGACCUUAGUUGCUAAGUUAAAGGGAGUGAAUAGAGCACCAUAUUUCUUCUUCUGCGUGGAAAAUAAGUUGGCAUUAUGCCAAUUUCCACAUUCAUACAUAUAAAGGAAGCAAGAGCAAGUCAAUAUACUUUGUAAUCUCAUCAAUUCUUCUUCUUUCUUUAGGGAGUUCAAAUGAAAUACAAAUUUUUGGUAAAUCAACUCUUCAUUUUUAUGAAUAAAAAUUAUAUGGUAGAAAGGAAGUGGUGUUAAUAAUAAUAAUAAUAAUAAAAAGAUUAACAAUAGAACACUAAUAAAGCAAUUUAGUCUAUGAUCUGCACAAUAUAUUACUACAAAUGUACCGUACAGAAUAUUGAAAGAAAACUAAUAAAGAAGUUCGAAAUUUAAACAAUGUUCCGCAAAUUAUGUUUAUGAUCUGCUGUAAAUUGAUAUGUUAAAUCAACUCUUCAUUUUUAUGAAUAAAAAUUAUAUGGUAAAAAGGAAGUGGUGUUAAUAAUAAUAAUAAAGAUCAACAAUAGAAAACUAAUAAAGCAAUUUAGUCUAUGAUCUGCAUAAUAUAUUACUACAAAUGUACCGUACAGAAUAUUGAAAGAAAACUAAUAAAGAAAUCCGAAAUUUUAACAAGGUUCCGCAAAUUAUGUUUAUGAUAUGAUGUAAAUUGAUAUGUCAAAUUUUGUGGCAAGUAAUAGAAAAUGACAAAUUCCACAUUCAUACAUAUAAAGGAAGCAAGAUCAAGUCAAUAUACUUUGUAAUCUCAUCACUUCUUCUUCUUUCUUUAGGGAGUUCAAAUGAAAUACAAAAUUUUGGUAAAUCAACUCUUCAUUUUUAUGAAUAAAAAUUAUAUGGUAAAAGGAAGUCUUGUUAAUAAUAAUAAUAAGAUUAACAAUAGAAAACUAAUAAAACAAUUUAUCCAAAUAUCAAAAUAAAUAUUAACUUUUUCAGAAACCAAAAUUAUUUUCUAAAAAUUAUUUUUUAAAAACUAUUUUUAGUGAAACAAACUGAGUCUUAGCCCAUAUUGUAAAUUAUUUUGUGGGUCUGGAAUUCUUGUACAUUAUGCUGCAAAAGAGUGAAAUUUCCUUACAGCUAGUCGAUCAAGUUUGGUUGAAAUUGAAUGCAUUGAUGUGAAAUUGAGGGAGCCUAAACAAUGUUGAUGCGAGUUUAGGUAAAAUUAGUGGAUCCCAUCUCCUUAGUAAUUUCUUUAAGGAAGUAUCUGCUUUCACACUGUGUUGACAACUUCCCACAGAUCAAAGGCCUGCAGGUAAGUCUUCAUAUUUACCAGCCAUAUGUGAAAACCUUCUCCAUUGAAGACUGGUGGGACUGCUGGUGAAAAUCCUGAAGAAGCCAUCAGGUUUCUUGAUUUGAAGCAACAGGUCCACUAAGAAAAGGGCUCUAGAUACCAAUUGUUGGUGUAAAAGGGCAGAAGCAAACUGAUUUAAGCUUGCUUAUACAGCAAGCCUCGAGCCUUGUAGAAGAAACAAUCUCAGCAGAAAGCAAAAAUGAAGCUUGCAGUUGGAAAAACAAGAAAACAAGGAGAGAAUUUGAAUGAAAAACAAGCUGAGUUGUUCAUUAACAUUACAACAAGGCAUAUUGCCAUUACAUAUAUCAGUUAACUUGUCAAAUAAACAAGUAAUCACCUAAUCAAUUACCUAACACCACUAAUAUGCAUUGAAACUUACAAAAUUAGCUUGCAAACAUUACAUUGCUGAUAUUUCAGUCAAUCAACAUCAAAAUUACACCAAAACAUUCACCUGCUUAGUUCAAUGUGAACUAGAUUACAAAAUGAUUAAAAUACAACUAAAACAACAAGUGGUUCAGUAACUUGAAGCUUCAGCUGCUGCACACCAUGGCUCGAUUGCCUGCUGCCAUUUCUUCUUGCAUGGCCACCUUUGCAUGGGAACUAAACUCAACAUACACGAACUAAUGCAAAUAUGCUAGUGGUUUAUUUUCCACCUAUCUGAUUUUUUAAAAUGUUCUUCAGUUACACCAGUUGAUGCAAUCUAUUAUUACCUGCCUCGUUGCAAAAAGGUUAGGAAAUAAAUUCACCGACAAUCAUUGGGAACUAAGAAACUUCGCAGCAAAGCUAGUGGCAUCAAUAUGCAAAAGGUGAAGAUUCUUUUCUUUUGGACUUAUACAUGCAUAUUCGUUUUUAUGAAUUUCAGGUGUCUGAGUUUUUAGUUAUAAACUUGGAUCUAUUCUUCAAAUCAUGUGUAUAUCAUUUUUAUGCUAUUUCACACUUGCAAAACAAAUGGUGCGAGCGUGCAUGUUAUAUGCAGAAUACAUAGAUUAAUUACAUGUGGAUCAUUAAGCAUGCCUAUGUUUGACGAUUGUGUGUGGCUACCUUUUUUUACAUGAUCCAAUUUUCGAUAUGCUUUGCUUUUAGGUUGAAUGCGGAAAAGAUUAGAACUUAAUUUCCAGCAUAAUGAUUUGUCUUGGAUAUGCAGAUUUUACAUGCAUUUCUUACAAGUCAAUAUUUUAUAGAUUUGGGCAUGUUUAUCACAAUCUUCAGCCACGUGUGACAAGGACACUGCUCCACGCUUUUUUGGACCCAACGAAAACAUUUCCCCAGUAUUACGGAGCAAUUCAAGGGUUAGCAGCCCUUGGACCCAGUGUGGUAUAAUUCUAAUCUCAAAUAUUUACUAGCAACACAAUAAGAUACUUGUUUGUGGGAUCAAUUGGUCAAAGAUAUUGCAAUGAUAGCCAUCUUUUUAAGCCCAUUUCUUUCAGAAAACUGUUUUGUCACUCUUUUCUGCAAGAUCCGAAGAAAGAAAGAACAUGGAAAUCUUUAGUCCAAAAGUGUAAAUAUGCGGUUUCUCUAUAGCUAUCUUGAUUAUGGCAUCUGUAAAGUUUGUCUUUCAUAUGUUUGGCUAACGCUUCUUCAUCCAUAUGUAGGUUCGUUUACUUAUACUACCAAACCUUGAAGCGUAUUUGCAGCUUCAUGAACCUGAAAUAAAAAGACACGAGGCCUGGUGUUUUUAUGGGGCCCUGCUGGUAAGUUUAACAUCAAAUUUGGUACCAGUUUACGAGCAUCAUUUCAUUUAUUUGCUAUAGAACUAACAACACUGCAUAAAAUUUCCACUAAAAGCGUGCAGCUGGACUGUGCAUGUAUGAUCGGCUUAAAAUGUUCCCCAGUUUGCUAGCACCCCCAACUCGGCCCGUCUGGAAAAGCAACAACAAAGUUGCGACAAGUAUGAUUUCUUCGAACCAUCAUAUUUACACUUAAUCCACAGGUCUCUUCUCCCCCUUUACGAUUUUCCUUUUUCUGAUCAAUCAAGAUAAACGAAAAGCAAGCACGGACGCCUUGAUGCAGCAGCAACCACCUGCGAAGAAAAUAGCAACUGAGAGUGCAAUAGGUAUGAUGCCAAUAAAUUCCAUGCAAACUGAUUUACAAGGGGCAGUUAGCAGCUUUUCUACCACCGUAGGAGGUUCCAAUAUCGGUGUAUCAUCAAUGUCACGGCCGUUAUCAAACGAUAACAUGCUAGGAAGGGAGGUUGGGGGUCGAGUUUCAAGGACAUCAACCGUUCUAGCUCAGGCUUGGAAGGAAGACACAGACCCAGGGAACUUGUUAGCAUCAUUAUUUGAACUUUUUGGUGAAAGUAUGUAAUUAAAAUAAUAUAUUGGCUUAACCCUCCUAAAUUAUGUAUUUUUUUCCAUCUUGGGACCUAAAUUUUUUUGGGGUCAUAAGUGGUACCUAAACUACAUUUUUUCUCCUUCAAAUUAGUAUCUUCAUUAAUUAAACCGUUAAGUCUAUUUAAAAAAGAAAGACUCGAACAACAAAUUAAUACCUAAACAGUGCUCUUUUUCUCAAGGUACCUAAUUUUUAUUUUGGCCAUAAGUACUACUAAAACUAUUCUUCCGUUACUCAUUUUACACCAAAAUGUUAUAUCGGCUGAAAAGAUUCCAACAAAUAAUAGAUUGUAUGUUAUAUAAACUUUUAAAAAUAAUUAUUAUUUAAUUAAUUUUUUAUAUUUUUCUUUCUUAUUCCUUUCUAAUGUUUGGCAAUGCUGAUAAUGUUUGAAAUUGUCCCACUUGAGGUCAAAAUACUGGUGAUUAAUUUUGGUUUUGAAUUUCACCACCUACUUCUUUGACCUAAGGGGAUAGAAAAUGUUCUUUUAUCGAUCAAAACUAGUAUUUUCAAAAACAGAUUGAUUCAACUGGUUGGAUAGGAAAUCGGUCUGGAAAUAAGGGUUGAAUCGAUUGACUUGCGACCAAAAACAAAUCAGUUGAACUAAGUUAAAAAAACUGGUUGAACUAGUUCUCUCCAUUUAUAUAUAUAUAAAUAAUAAUAGUCUUUUUUUGUACUAUAUGUCAAUUUUUAAUUGGUUAAUUUUUUUUUUCAUAUAAACUGAACGGUUUGACUAAUGACGGAGGUACCAAAUUAUAGUCUAGGUACCAAUUCAUGGGUUAAGCCUAUUUCUACAAUAGACUUUUGACUAAUGGCGGUAGUAACUUGGGAAAAAAAAAGUAGUUUAUGUACCACUUGUGACAAAAAAUAAGUUUAGGUACUAUCAUGGGAAAAUGAGUAUAAUUUAGAUACUAAUUUAUGAGUUAAGCCUAAUAUAUUUGCCACAUCAUUUUUUGAAAAUAACAGAACUUAAUAAAUUUAACGGUUAUUAUUUGAUGAUGACUAAAAUUUUUAAAUUUGAAAAGUACAUGAACUAAAAAUGACCAAAUUAAAGUAUAAAGAUUAAGUCCACAACUUUUGCAAAGUACAAGGACUAAUAGCAGAAAUUAACCUAAAUUUCAUAUGGGUCAAUUACAAUAAUAAUCACUAAACUAUUCCUUUGGUUCUAUUCUAGUCACUCAACUAUAGAGCUGCUCAUGAGCCGGGCCAGGUUAGGCCUAAGCAUGAUAUUAACGUACUUUAUGCUUGCUCAAGCUUGGCUCGGCCCGAAAUAUGAGCUUAAAAUUUCGCCUAAACUCAUCAAUAUUUGCAAAAGACUAACCCAAGCUCAUUUUAGGCAUGCCCAUAUAAUUUUUAGUUUUUUUUUUUUAAAUAUUUAUAUUAUAUUAUUUUAAGAAUUAAUAAUUUGAACUAUAGUAUUAUUAUAUAUUUAGUAUAAGUUUAUUUUUUAAUCUGUUCUAAAUUAUAUAAUAUAAAAUAUUAUACACUUAAAAACGGGCCGGGCUGGGCUCGAGCUUUAAAUGUUCAAGUCUUAACCCGGCCCAUAUUUUAAACGGGCUUAAUUUUUUUACCAAAACCCAAUUUUCGGGCCUAAUUUUUUUACUCAGACCCUCCCAAAUUUUGGGCUGCCCUUGGGCUUUGGCAAGUAGCCCAACUCAUGAACAAGUUUACUCAACUAUUAAUUUUUUCGAUUUAGUUGUUAACCUUUUCGAAAGUAAAUAUUUUAGUCAUUCUCCUAUUAGUUGUUGUUAAACGAGUGACGGAAAGCUGAUGUGGGCUUUUUUUAUUAGUCUAAUAACAAAUUUAGCCCUCCAAUGUUUACACAUUCUAUCAAUUUGAUCCUAGAUAUAAAAAAAUCAACAAAUUUAGCCCUGAAUGUUAACAAAACUUGUCAUUUUAGUUCAAAUUCUAAAAAAUUUAAUAAAUUUAACCCUUAAUAUUUUCAAAAAUUAGCAAUUUAGUUCUAAUUCUAAAAAUUUUAAUAUAUAUAUUUAAAAAAAUAUUUUUAAUCAUCUGUCUCACCCUUUGAUUUUUUAGAUGAGCUAAAAUCAAAAUGAGAUAAAAAAAAAUAAAAAGUUAAAAUGACUUUUCGUUUGUAAAGUUAAAAAAUGCUAAAUAAAUCAUUAUGUCUUUUUAGUUUUAAUUUUUUACUUGAUUAAAAGAGAAAUAAUUAACAAAUGAAAAAUAAUUAUUUCUAUAUAAAUUUAUCAAAAUUUAUAACAAAUGAUAUUUUAGAUUUGAAUUAUCAGACUAUAUAUAUAUAAGUAUACACAUUUUUAUGAAAUAAAAGAUUUUGCUAAAAGAAAAAGCAUCCAAUUUUAAGAAUGAAAAAUAUAUGGUAAAAGCAUCCAUAACUUUUCAAUGUUAAAGACAAAAAAGACUGUAACACCAAUGUUGUGGUAUUAUUUGUUGCCUAUAAAUACCAUUCCUAUCCUUCUUCUUCCUCUACCAACAUAACAUGGCCUCCUAUCUCUUUCUCUCCCUAUUCCUCUUCUUUCUCCAUCUUUAUGCUUCUUUUUCUUCUUCAGGAUCUCACUCCUGCUCUUCACUAAUCCAGUUUAAGGACUCCUUUUCCAUAAGAGAGGAUGCUUCUUUUGAUCAUUGCGAUUAUUUUGCUGGCCUUAAAUCUUAUCCCAAGACAAAUUCAUGGAAGGAGGGUACAGAUUGCUGCUCAUGGGAUGGGGUCACUUGUGACCACCUAAAUGCUCAUGUUAUUGCCCUUGACUUGAGCUGCAGUUGGCUAUAUGGCACCUUCCCUUCCAAUACCACUCUCUUCCUUCUUCCUCACCUUCAAAAACUCAACCUUGCCUACAAUGAUUUUAAUUCUUCCAAAAUUCCAUCCGAGUUCGGUCGGUUUACAAGCCUAUUCUACCUCAACCUUUCCAAUACAUGGUUUUCAGAAGUCCCAUCCCAAGUCUCCCACCUGUCAAAAUUGGUUUCACUUGAUCUUUCUGGGUUUGAUGAACUAUUAACAAUUGACAAAUAUGCUCUGGAGGGUCUUGUUCACAACCUAACCGAGGUCAGACGUCUGUUUUUGGAUGAAAUGGACAUGUCUUCAGUUAAUGCUCAUGUCUUCAUGAAUCUAUCCUCUUCUCUAAGGUCUCUCAGUCUUGUUGGUUGUGAUUUGCAAGGAAAAUUCCCAAAAAACAUUUUUGAUUUGCCAAACCUCAAUCUCCUCAACUUGGGAGGCAACCAAAACCUCAAUCUUGAUCCUUUGAAGUUCAAUCGGAGCAGCAAUCUUGAACAAUUGAUAAUUUCAGACGCAAAUAUUUGUGGAGGAUUGCCUGACUCGAUGGGGAAUCUUGUGUCCUUGAAGUUUUUAGUUCUCUCCCAUUCCAACUUAUCAGGACUGGUUCCAAGAUCACUGGGGAAUCUCUUGAAACUCACUCAUUUAGACUUGUCGGAGAACCAAUUGAGUGGACAAAUUCCAAGAAAAUUGGGGAACCUCUUGCAACUCACUCAUUUAGACUUGUCGAAGAACCAAUUGAGUGGACAAAUUCCAAGAUCAUUAGGGAACCUCUUGCAACUCACUCAUUUAGACUUGUGGCUGAACCAAUUGAGUGGACAGAUUCCAAGAUCAUUGGGGAACCUCUUGCAACUCACUGUUUUAGACUUGGGAUGGAACAAAUUGAGUGGACAAAUUCCAUUGUCAAUUCUAAACCUAACGCAGCUGGAAUACUUGACAAUAUCUAACAAUUCUUUAGAAGGUUCCAUUCCAGAUGAGGUAACCGCUUUUCAUAAUCUAAUAUAUUUAGACUUAUCUGACAAUUUACUCAAUGGAACACUGCCGUCAUGGUUGUAUACUGCUCCCUCCUUAAAGACAAUAUAUCUCUCUCAAAAUCAAUUCAGUGGGCAUAUCAAAGAAUUCCAAUCCAAAUCACUAGAAUGGAUAUGGUUAGAGAAUAAUAAACUCCAAGGUCCUCUUCCAUCUUCAAUAUUCCAACUUCUCAAUCUUACCCAACUUAGCUUAUCCUCAAAUUAUCUUAGUGGUGUCAUAGAGUUUCGCAUGUUCUCAAACCUUCCAAAUCUCGAAUAUCUUGACCUUUCAUAUAACAGCCUAUCCUUAACAUCUAAUACAACUUCUACUGUUAAUCUUACAAGCUUAUUUUUGUCAUCUUGCAAUCUUAGUGAAUUCCCCCAAUUUUUAAAAGGGCUUAAAAGUUUGGAAAGCUUAGACCUCUCUUGCAACAAAAUUGAAGGCAAGAUUCCACAGUGGAUGCGAGAGGUGGGGAAUGGCUCUUUGACUCACUUAAAUGUAUCUCACAACACUUUGACAGAAGUUGAGCACUUUCCAUGGAAGAAUAUUGAUGUUCUUGACUUAAGCUCCAAUUUGAUCAGUGGAAAUCUUCCGAUUCCAGCUUCGACCAUAAGAGUCUUUUUGAUCUCAAAUAAUAGUUUCAAUGGAGAGGUCUCUUCUUUAAUAUGCAAUGCCGCUUUUCUUGAAAUUCUUGAUUUGUCCCACAAUAACUUGAGUGGAACAAUUCCACAAUGUUUUGGAAAUUUGAGCAACAGCCUUCUAUUCUUGAAUCUGAAGAAGAACAAGUUUUAUGGGACGAUUCCUCCAGCAUUUGCAAAGGGAUGCCGAUUGAGUAAUUUCAACUUAAAUGGAAAUCUGUUAGAAGGGCCUUUGACACCAUCCAUGAUCCAUCCUUAAUUGUAAUGGUCUGGAAGUGCUAGAUCUUGGUAACAACAAGAUCAAUGAUACAUUUCCUCAUUGGUUGGGAAGUCUUCCACAGCUACAAGUUCUUGUAUUGAAGUCAAAUCAACUGCAUGGUUCCUUAUGUGUCAAUAGCUCCAAGUCUAUCCCUUUUUUCUCUAAAAUCCAAAUUUUUGAUCUCUCAAGUAAUUAUUUUUCUGGACCCCUACCAGUGAGAUACAUCAACAGCUUCAAGGCUAUCAUAAAUCUAGAGAAGAUUGGGAGUACAAUGUCGUACAUGGGGGUGUAUGCUCAGAGAGGUAGUGCCUUCUAUACCCAUUCCAUUGGAAUUGUUAUGAAAGGACAAGAUAGGGAAUUGGUGAAAAUUUUCACCAUGUGGAUGAUCAUUGAUCUAUCAAACAAUCAGUUUCAAGGGGGUAUUCCAAAGGUUAUUGUGAAGCUUAACUUGCUGAAAGGGCUCAACCUUUCUCAUAAUAACCUUAAUGGUGGUAUCCCCACCUCAAUAGGGAAUUUGACAAGUCUUGAAUGGUUAGACCUAUCUUCAAACAGUUUGUCUGGGACGAUUCCAAAUAGAUUGGCAGAUCUGCCAUUUCUUUCGUCCUUCAAUGUUUCUGAAAAUCAACUCCAUUGUCAGAUUCCUCAAGGCAAACAGUUCAACACAUUUGGAAAUGAUUCAUAUGAAGGAAACAAGGGAUUAUGUGGAUUUCCGGUCUCAAAAGGUUGCAACAUCAUUGAGCCAGCACCUCUAAAUGUGCUUGAAAAAGAUGGCUCAAAAUCAAACAUUACUUUUGGUUGGAAAGUGGUGUUGAUAGGUUAUGGAUGCGGAGUGGUGUUCGGAAUGUCCGUGGGAUAUGUUGUUUUCCAAACUGGUAAGCCGAAAUGGUUGGUGAAUUUGGUUGAAAUCCAACAUGAGAAGAAGCGAAGAAGAAAGUCAAAGGAUGGCAGUCGCAGCAAUGGAUGAAGAAGGAUCUAGUUAGUGGAAAUGAUGUUCAAGUGUUGAUGUUGUAUCUUCAUAAUUUCUUGUUUUGAAGUCUUUCAAUUUUUUUCCUAUGGUGAAAGGUUGCAUUGCCAUGCAUCUGUCUUUACUUUUGUAACAAUUCAUCUGUCAUAAUAUUAUAGAUUUUAUUGAUUUUAAUUUUUUCUCUAAUUUUUAAUAAAAAUAGGGGCAUAAUUGCUUUUUUUUUUUAAGUUUGAGAGUAUUUUUUAUGCAUUUUGAAAGUUCAAGUACCAAAUUGAGUGCAAAAAAAAAAAGAGUAGGGGCUUAAUUACUUUUUUUGAAAAUGUUUGAGAGCUUUUUUGAUGUAUCAAAUGAAAUACAAAUUUUGAGUAAAUCAACUAUUCAUUUUUAUGAAUAAAAAUUAUAUGGUAAAAAGGAAGUAGUGUUAAUAAUAAUAAAAAAGAUCAACAAUAGAAAACUAAUAAAGCAAUUUAGCCUAUGAUCUGCGCAAUAUAUUACUACAAAUGUACUGUACAAAAUAUUGAAGAAAACUAAUAAAGAAAUCUGAAAUUUUAACAAGUUCCGCAAAUAAUGUUUAUGAUUUGCUGUAAAUUGAUAUGUCAAAUUAGGCUCUCCAUCACACUUAAAAGUUUAUUUUCGAGCAAUUUAGAUAUCUUUGUUGCGUUUUUAUUUUGUUUUAGUUGUUUAUAUUAAUAAAUGAUUAGUGUGCAUUUUGAUGCUAUUUUAAGACCUGAGAUGGCCAAAUGGCACCCGGGGAAUCUAAUGAGGUUGGUGAGUGAUGCAGAGAGCCCAUGGUGGCCCGGAAGGAACGAAAAUGUUACCUAGAAAGAGGGUAUCGCAUUUCAAAGCAUGAAAGUCGUAAUACCCAUAACAAUGUUAAAAACAAGGAAGAUUGAGCCAUCAACAAUGUUAUCGUGAUACCGGUCAUAAGAUAUCGCGAUACCCAAAACUUCCAAGGAUCCCCCAAGACUGUUGUGGAUAUCGCGAUACCAAACUUUGGGUAUCGCAAUAUCAUUGAUGAGAGGAGACAAAAUAUAACUGUAGGGGUAAUCCUUUUCCAACAUGUGGAAUGGCCAUGGGAUGUGUUGUUUUCCAAACCGGUAAGGCGAAAAGGUUCGUGAAUUUGGCUGAAGACCAACAUGAGAAGAGGCGAAGAAGAAAGCCAAAAUAUAGCAAUCGCAUCAAUGGAUGAAGAAGGAUCUAGUUGGUUCAAAUGAAGUUAAAGCAUUUGUGCUGUGUCUUCAUAAUUUCUUGUUUAGUAGUCUGUCAGAAAGUUUUUCCUAUGGUGAAAAGUUGCAUUGCUAUGUGUCUGUUUUUAUGAUUGUACCAAUUCCUCUGUAUUUCAUUGCAUUUCGUACUAUUUGUAAGGGUUUAGUUCAGUGUAACAUCUUGUAUGGUGCAACUAUGUAUGUCUUCUUUCUUGAAUUUCAACUUUUAGUAAACAUUAUACUGCUCACCAUAAAAAAAAUACAUGUAGAAUUACAAAAGAUUCAAUUAUUCAAGUUUGAGUUGCAUUUAUAAACAUGUGAUGAUGAGAAUUCAUGAACAAAAGGUAUGGUUUGAGCCCUUUUGCAAUAUGCGUUUAUGUUGCAUUUACCUAUAUAUCUAUCGACAAAUUUAAGAGUAAUAUUUACAAUAGCAUUGCAGAGUAACAUAUUUACGAUUGGAUUACACAGUCAAAAGAUUGCAGCAACGAUGAGAUUAAUCCAAUUACAGGAAUUGAUAUCCUAAAUGGCUUUUAGGUACGUAGCUUCAUUGACGGUACAAACUAGUUAAAAUUUCCAGAAUUCAUGUCUUUGUUUUCCCUCAAGUAAACGUAGUCAAUACUGCAAAUGGUGUGGAAGUAUUGUACAUUGUGGCCCAAAUGUCCAAAAUUUCCACAUUGCUUGUAAAUUAAGUGAUGAAAACCAAAACUGUUUGAGGCAUCCAAUUACCCACAGAGAUAGGAAGUAAGGACGCAUGUAUAAUUAUUAUCAUUAAUUAAAGCAUAUAUAAUUACAUUAAAUAUAGGAUAAACUAUAAAAAUAAUCACUUUUAUUUACCUCAUAUUACAUUUUAGUCACUUAUGUUUGAAAUGUUACAUUUUGGUCACUUACGUUAUCGUUUUGGUACGAAGUGGUCACUCUACCGUUAAGCUCCGUUACCUCCCUAACGGCGAUUCUACGUGAUAGUCCAAAUGAGUUUUAAAUGCCAACUUAAAUGUCUUGCGUGGCUGUCUAAAUUAAAUUUAUUUAAUUAAAAACUUAUUUUCAUCUCAACAACCGGACAUUCAAGUUCGCAUUUAAAACCCAUUUAGACUGCCACGUAGGACUGCCGAUAGGGAGGUAACAGAGUUUGAUAGUAGAGUAACCACUUCAUAACAAAACGAUAAUGUAAGUGGCUAAAACAUAACAUUUCAAACAUAAGUAAUUAAAAUAUAAUAUAAGGUAAACAAGCCUUAAAUAUAUAAAUUACUAUGAUUACUAUCAAGAUAGCAUUGACCUGUUCAACAGGCGGAACCAAUAGAUCUGACCAUUUGGUGACUCUAGCAGUCGAUAAGUGUGAGUGGCAGACUGUGCAACUUGUAACUAUGUUAAUUGAUGAAAAGCUUUUUGAUAGAAGAUAAUAAACUAGUGGCAAUGGCAAACGGUUCCAAGACGAGGUGGGACACCGAGGCUUUGUGUAACAGGGGAAUAGAUGCACUCAAUGCUGGCGGCUGUUGACUUGUAUUUCUCUCUAACAAUUUAAAUCACCAGCUUGCUUCAUCCAUCUAUAAAUAAGGGUCUUCUUCAGUUUCAUAAAUGCAUAGAAAAUUAACAAGCUCAAAUUCCUUCUUUUCAUAUUCAUCUCUUUUACUUUGAAUUGCAACUUUAUCCUGCCUAAAUUCCUCAACCAUGAACCACCCAUCAGGACAGCCUCAAAAUGAACUUCCUUGGUCCGCCGGAUUCUGCGAUUGUUGCUCUGACCUGAAAACUUGUAACCCUUUCUUCUUUCUUCAAUAUCAGUUCUGUCUUUUUAAUUAUAUGAAUUAGUUUAUCAAUUAAAUAUAUGGACAUUUCAGGUUGCAUUUCAUACUGGUGCCCAUCCAUCACCUUUGGCCAGAUUGCUGAGAUUGUUGAUAAAGGGUCGACUUGUAAGUUAUUAAUUUCUAAAUUGAAAUCUUAUCAUCUUAGGUUUUGCAGACAUAUAUAUAUUUAAAGAGAUAUUAUGUAAUUAAUAAUAAUGUUGAAAAACACUGUUGGAUGGUGCAGCAUGUCGGGCAAGUAGGGCACUAUACACAUUAAUAAUGUUCAUCACCGGGUGUGGGUGCUUAUAUUCUGGCUGCUACCGAUGCAAACUGAGAAAGCAGUAUAACUUGAAAGGAGGCGAUUGUGGCGAUUGCAUGCGUCAUUUCUGCUGCGAGCCUUGUGCCUUGACACAAGAGUAUCGUGAGCUCCAGAACCGUGGAUUCGACAUGUCUAUCGGUAUGUCUACAUACCAAUAUUAUACCCCUUUUAAUUAUUCUUAAUAUAACUUCAAGUAUAUUAAUUGAGUAGCUGUAAACAAAUAUCUCCGAAUAAAUAUGUUGGUAAUGAUGAGAUAAAUUAUUGUUUGAGGUCAUUAAUUUUGUGGGGGUAUAUUUAUAUAUGCAGGUUGGCAUGCAAAUGUGGAGAAGAACCCAGGGCUGGCAAUGGCUCCAGCGGUAGAAAAAGGCAUGAGCAAAUAGAUGAUGAUGAUGAUGAGACCACUGCAUUAAUAUCAUCUUUACAUGUAACACUUAAUUCCUUGGCUUUCCAUAAUUGGUUGAUUGUACGGCUUGCCAAUUGAAUUUCAAGUUAUGUAUGUUUGUGAUUGUCAAAUAUAUUAAUAAAAAGUGUUACUAUUCAUGUUAGAUCUUCAUGAAUAAGAAUGAGAAUCGAAAAUAACUUGUAAUAUUGUGUGUGCAUGUUUGGUAUUUAGGUGAAAUACUUAGAAAGAGAGGUUGGAUUAAAUUAAUUUUUUAUUAUCAAAAUGGAUGAUUUUAAUUUUUAUAUUAAUAAAAAGAAUUAAAUAAAAUUAAUAUUUAUUGUUUUAGAAAAUGACAUCAAAUUAUUGUUUUUUAUAGUUCAAUCCAAAUAAAAUAUCUACAAAAUCAUUAAAAACUUUUAAAAUGUGACUUUGUUAAAUAGUAAAUAGCAUUUUUUUAAAAGGGUUCAUAUAUAUCGUGAUACCUAAAGUUGGCAACUUCUACUUAGUAUCUAAAUCGGUACAUAAACUUGAAAAUUGUAAGUCAACUUCGUAUUUUUAUAAGUAUGAUGAUGUUGGUGUAGUGUGAGGAAGAAGACUUGAAUGGGUUUGAUUAUUUUUAAUAAUACAGGAAUUUACAUAUUAUAAGUAAAUAGACACUCACAUUCUUUAUGUAUUAUAAGGAAGAAGACUAAGUCGAUCUACUUUGUAAUCUCAUCAAUCUUAAUUUUCUCAAUUGUUAAGGGAGUUCAAAUGAAAUACAAAAUUUUGGUAAAAAAAAGUAUCCAAUUUUGUGAAUAAAAAAUAUAUGGUAAAAAAGAUUUGGUAUCGAUACUUCGGCGCGGGUAUCAAUACUCGAUACAUUGCUUUUGGUUGGAAAGUAGUGUCUGGAACGGCCAUGGGAUGUGUUGUUUUCCAAACCGGUAAGGCGAAAAGGUUUGUGAAUUUGGUUGAAGACCAACAUGAGAAGAGGCGAAGAAGAAAACCAAAAUAUAGCAAUCGCAUCAAUGGAUGAAGAAGGAUCUAGUUGGUGCAAAUGAAGUUAAAGCAUUUGUGCUGUGUCUUCAUAAUUUCUUGUUUAGUAGUCUGUCAGAAAGUUUUUCCUAUGGUGAAAAGUUGCAUUGGUAUGUGUCUGUCUUUAUGAUUGUACCAAUUCCUCUGUAUUUCAUUGCAUUUCGUACUAUUUGUAAGGGUUUAGUUCGAGUGUAACAUCUUGUAUGGUGCAACUAUGUAUGUCUUCUUUCUUGAUUAUUGAAAUUAUAAUCAAAAUUAAUACAUGUUCUUUUUAUUAGCUUAAGGGCGUAAAAACACUUCAAAAUUUUCAAAAAAUAAAAUAAAAUUUUAAGUCCCUCUUUUUUUUACACUCAAUUGAAAUUUUUAAAAUGUAUCAAAAAUAUCUUUACAGUUCUUCAAAAAAAAAAACAAUUAAACCCCUAUUUUUUUUCCGCUCAAUUGGGUACUUGAACUUUCAUAAUGCAUCAAAAAUGCCUUAAAUUUUUUUCAAAAAAGCAAUUAAGCCCCUACUCUUAUUAAAAAUUAGAAAAAAAUCAUAAAAAUAAUAAAUUUUAGAAAAAAUUAUUAAAUUUUAAUAAAAAUUUAAAAUUUUAUUAAAAAUUAGAAUUUUUUUUUAGAAAAAUCGUCAAAAAAUAAAAAAUUAUAAAAUCCAUCAAAAAGUUUUAACAAUUAACUUUAACUAUUGAUCGUUAAAGUUAACGACCUCUAGUUUUUUCAAUUAAAGUCAUUAUGUGUCGCAACUCAACGUGACAUGUAGCGAAAAUAGAUAAAAAAGUAAAAAUCAAUAAAAGUUAUAGAAAAAUUAUAAAAUAUUUCUUUUGGUAGAAUAAUUUUUAUAAAUUUUUUUUACAAAAUUUAUAUUUCUUUACAUUUUGUAUAAUUUUCUUAUAACUUUAUAAAAUUUUAUAAAUUUUUAUAUUUCUAUAUAUUUUAAAAUUUUUUAAAAUUUUUAUAAAAUUUUACAAUUUUUAUAUAUUUUUAAUAAAUUUUUAAUAUUUGAUUUUUUAUUAAAAUUUAAUAAUAUUAUAGAUUUUAUUGAUUUUAAUUUUUUAUCUAAUUUUUAAUAAAAUUAGGGGGUUAAUUGCUUUUUUUUUAAGUUUGAGGGUCUUUUUGAUGCAUUUUGAAAGUUCAAGUACCCAAUUGACUGCAAAACAAAAAGAAAAAAAGUAGGGGCUUAAUUGCUUUUUUUGAAAAUGUUUGAGGGCUUUUUUGAUGUAUUUUGAAAGUUCAAGUACCCAAAUGAGUGCAUAAAAAGAACAGGGGUUUAGUUGCUAUUUUGAAAAAGUUUGAGGGCUUUUUGCACCUUUAAACCUCUUUUCUUUUUCUAAAUUUAAUUUAGAACCAACUUUGUGUAAAGACUUGGGAAAUUUAAUUAGCAAAAUUUCUUUCCAUGUAAAAAUUUCCCCUAUUUCUUGUUUGAAUUUAAAGCAAUACAAUAUUUUUCUAGCAAAUAAUAGAAAAUGACAGUCAAUUAAUUCCAGCAAUACAACAUUUCCAGUCUGGUGGAAAACAGCUAGGGACCAAAUUUUUAAAGUGUUGUUUACUACACACUUAGGGACCAUAUAUGUAUAUAUAUAUAUUCCAGUCUGGGUCUUUGUCGUGUUUUGUUGGUUGGCUAUGGCCUUCUUGUUGUUUCAUGGCCACUGCCCGUGAAUUAAGUCAUAUGUGGCCUUGUUUGCUAGACCUUAGUUGCUAAGUUAAAGGGAGUGAAUAGAGCACCAUAUUUCUUCUUCUGCGUGGAAAAUAAGUUGGCAUUAUGCCAAAUUCCACAUUCAUACAUAGAAAGGAAGCAAGGCCAAGUCAUUAUACUUUGUAAUCUCAUCAAUUCUAAUUAUUUCACUUCUUCAUUCUUUAGGGAGUUCAAGUGAAAUACAAAUUUUUCCACAUCCAAUCUCAUAAAUAAUCCGUCUUUGAACUUUCACAAAAAAAUAUUAAAUACCCAUUCACUUUAAUUCUACUAUUCUUAAAUCAUUCAAGUUUUGUGGAAAAUAUGCUUCUUGGAUAAAAUUAUUCAACACACAUGCCUUGAAUUUUAUGCAAUAAAAUAAAUCAAUAUAGGCCACACAUGCUUUGAAUAUUUAAGUAGUCCACAAUUUUGUUCGUUUGUGUGCAAAAUUCUACAUUGCUUGACAGCCAUACAUUCUAAGUAAAUAGACACCCACAUUGUUUACGUAUUAUGAAGAAGAAGACUAAGUCAGUCUACUUUGUAAUCUCAUCAAUCUUAAUUUUCUCAGUUAUUUAGGGAGUUCAAAUGAAAUACAAAAUUUUGGGAAAAAAAAUGUAUCCAAUUUUGUGAAUGAAAAAUAUAUGGUAAAAAGGAUUUGGUAUGGAUACUUCGGCUCGGGUAUCAAUACUCAGGGUAAGUUUAUCGAUACAUUGCUUUUGGUUGGAAAGUGGUGUUGAUAGGUGAUGACUAAAAUUUGAUAAAUUUGAAAAGUACAUGAAAUUUAACGAUUAUUGUUUGGUGAUGACUAAAAUUUUAAAAUUUGAAAAGUACAUGAACUAAAAAUGACCAAAUUAAAGUAUAAAGAUUAAGUCCACAACUUUUGCAAAGUACAAGGACUAAUAGCAGAAAUUAACCUAAAUUUCAUAUGGGUCAAUUACAAAAAUAAUCACUAAACUAUUCCUUUGGUUCUAUUCUAGUCACUCAACUAUAGAGGUGCUCAUGGGCUGAGCCAGGUCAAGCCUAAGUAUGAUAUUAAUGUAUUUUAUACUUGCUCAAGCUUGGCUCGGCCUGAAAUAUGAGCUUAAAAUUUUGCCUGAACUCAUCCAUAUUUGCAAAAGACUAACCCAAGCUCAUUUUAAGCAUGCCUAUAUAAUUUUUAAUUUUUUUUAAAUAUUUAUAUUAUAUUAUAUUAAUUAAUAAUUUAAACAUUUUUUAUUUAUUAAAAUUUUUUAUAGUCAUUUUAACAUUAUUUUAAUGUUUACAUUAUAGUAUUAUUAUAUAUUUAGUAUAAGUAUUUUUUUAAUAUGUUCUAAUUUAUAUAAUAUAAAGUAUUAUACACUUAAAAACGGGCCGGGCUGGGCUUGAGCUUUAGUUGUUACUCAACUAUUAAUUUUUUCGAUUUAGUUGUUAACCUUUUCAAAAGUAAAUAUUUUAGUCAGUCUCCUAUUAGUUGUUGUUAAAUGAGUGACGGAAAGCUAAUGUGAGCUUUUUUUAUUAGUCUAAUAACAAAUUUAGCCCUCCAAUGUUUACACAUUCUAUCAAUUUGAUCGUAAAUAUAAAAAAAAAAUCAACAAAUUUAGCCCUGAAUAUUAACAAAACUUGUCAUUUUAGUUCAAAUUCUAAAAAAUUUAAUAAAUUUAACCUUUAAUAUUUUCAAAAAAAUAGCAAUUUAGUUCUAAUUCUAAAAAUUUUAAUAUAUAUAUUUAAAAAAAUAUUUCUAAUCCUCUGUCUCACCCUUUGAUUUUUUAGAUGAGCUAAAAUCAAAAUAUAUCAUUAUGUCUUUUUGUUUUAAUGCUAAAAGAGAUAAAAAAAAAUGGAAAGCUAAAAUGGCUUUUCGUUUGUGAAGUUACAAAAUGCCAAAUAAAUUAUUAUGUCUUUUUAGUUUUAAUUUUUUACUUGAUUAAAAGAGAAAUAAUUAACGAAUGAAAAAUAAUUAUUCACAAAUAAAUUUAUCAGAAUUUAUAACAAAUGAGAUUUUAAAUUUGAAUUUAUAAAUCAAAAUUUAUAUAUAUAUAUAUAUAAAAGAAAACACAUUUUUAUGAAAUAUAAGAUUUUGUUAAAAGAAAGAGCAUAUAAAAGCAUACACGUUUUUAUGAAAUACAAGAUUUUGCUAAAAGAAAAAGCAUCCAAUUUUAAGAAUGAAAAAUAUAUGGUAAAAGCAUCCAUAACUUUUCAAUAUAAAAGAAAAAAAAGACUAACACCAAUGUUGUGGUAUUAUUUGUUGCCUAUAAAUACCAUUCCUAUCCUUCUUCUUCCUCUACAAACAUAACAUGGCCCCCUAUCUCUUUCUCUGCCUAUUCCUCUUCUUUCCCCAUCUUUAUGCUUCUUUUCUUCUUCAGAAUCUCACUCCUGCUCUUCACUAAUCCAGUUUAAGGACUCUUUUUCCAUCACAAAGGAUGCUUCCUGGUAUUUCGAUUAUAUUACUGGCCUUAAAUCUUAUCCCAAGACAAAUUCAUGGAAGGAGGGUACAGAUUGCUGCUCAUGGGAUGGGGUCACUUGUGACCACCUAAAUGCUCAUGUUAUUGCCCUUGACUUGAGCUGCAGUUGGCUAUAUGGCACCUUCCCUUCCAAUACCACUCUCUUCCUUCUUCCUCACCUUCAAAAACUCAACCUUGCCUACAAUCAUUUUAAUUCUUCCAAAAUUCCAUCCGAGUUCGGUCGGUUUACAAGCCUAUUCUACCUCAACCUUUCCAAUACAUGGUUUUCAGAAGUCCCAUCCCAAGUCUCCCACCUGUCAAAAUUGGUUUCACUUGAUCUCUCCUCUCGGAUUGAUUACUCUGGGCAAGUUACAAUUGACAAACAUGCUCUGGAGGGACUUGUUCACAACCUAACCGAGGUCAGACAUCUGUUUUUGGAUGGAAUCAACAUGACUUCUGUUAAUGCUCAUGUCUUCAUGAAUCUAUCCUCUUCUCUAAGGUCUCUCAGUCUUGCUUUUUGUGAUUUGCAAGGAAAAUUCCCAAAAAACAUUUUUGAUUUGCAAAACCUCAAUCUCCUCAACUUGAGAUACAACCAAUUGAGUGGACAAAUUCCAAGAUCAUUGGGGAACCUCUUGCAACUCACUCAUUUACACUUGUCGGGGAACCAAUUGAGUGGACAAAUUCCAUUGUCAAUUCUAAACCUAACGCAGUUGGAAUACUUGGAAAUAUCUGAAAAUUCUUUAGAAGGUUCCAUUCCAGAUGAGGUAACCGCUUUUCCUAAUCUAAUAUAUUUAUACUUAUCUGACAAUUUACUCAAUGGAACACUUCCGUCAUGGUUGUAUACUGCUCCCUGCUUAAAGGAAAUAUAUCUCUCUCAAAAUCAAUUCAGUGGGCAUAUCAAAGAAUUCCAAACCAAAUCACUAGAAUAUUUAUAUCUAGAAAAUAAUAAACUCCAAGGUCCCCUUCCAUCUUCAAUAUUCCAACUUCUCAAUCUUACCGGGCUCCUUUUAUCCUCAAAUAAUCUUAGUGGUGUCAUAGAGUUGAGCAUGUUCUCAAACCUUCCAAAUCUCAAAUAUCUUGACCUUUCAUAUAACAGCCUAUCCUUAAUAUCUAAUACUACUUCUACUGUUAAUCAUAUAUUGCCUAAUCUUACAGGCUUACAUUUGUCAUCUUGCAAUCUUAGUGAAUUCCCCCAGUUUUUAAAAGGGCUUAAAAGUUUGGAAAGCUUAGACCUCUCUUGCAACAAAAUUGAAGGCAAGAUUCCACAGUGGAUGCAAGAGGUGGGGAAUGUCUCUUUGACUUACUUCAACGUAUCUCACAACUCUUUGACAGAAGUUGAGCACUUUCCAUGGAAGAAUAUUGAAAGUCUUGACUUAAGCUCCAAUUUGAUCAGUGGAAAUCUUCCGAUUCCAGCUUCGACCAUCAAUGUCUUUCUGAUCUCAAAUAAUAGUUUCAAUGGAGAGGUCUCUUCUUUAAUCUGCAAUGCCAGUGAUCUUGAAAUUCUUGAUUUGUCCCACAAUAACUUGAGUGGAACAAUUCCGCAAUGUUUUGGAAAUUUGAGCAACAGCCUUGAAUUCUUGAAUCUGAAGAAGAACAAGUUCUAUGGGACGAUUCCUCCAAAAUUUGCAAAGGGAUGCCGAUUGACUAAUUUCAACUUAAAUGGAAAUCUGUUAGAAGGGCCAUUGACUCCAUCCAUCCUUAAUUGUAGGGGUCUGGAAGUGCUAGAUCUUGGUAACAACAAGAUCAAUGAUACAUUUCCUCAUUGGUUGGGAAGUCUUCCACAGCUACAAGUUCUUGUAUUGAAGUCAAAUCAUAUGCAUGGUUCCUUAUGUGUCAAUAGCUCCAAGUCUAGCCCUUUUUUCUCUAAAAUCCAAAUUUUUGAUCUCUCAAGUAAUUAUUUUUCUGGACCCCUACCAGUGAGAUACAUCAACAGCUUCAAGGCUAUCAUAAAUCUAGAGAAGAUUGGUAGUACAGUGUCGUACAUGGGGGUGAAUGAUGGCUUCUAUACCUAUUCCAUUGGAAUUGUUAUAAAAGGACAAUAUAUGGAAUUGGUGAAAAUUUUCACCAUGUGGAUGAUCAUUGAUCUAUCAAACAAUCAGUUUGAAGGGGGUAUUCCAGAGGUUUUUGGGAAGCUUAACUUACUGAAAGGGCUCAACCUUUCUCAUAAUAACCUUAAUGGUGGUAUCCCCACCUUAAUAGGGAAUUUGACAAGUCUUGAAUGGUUGGACCUAUCUUCAAACAGGUUGUCUGGGACGAUUCCAAAUAGAUUGGCAGAUCUGCCAUUUCUUUCGUCCUUCAAUGUUUCUGAAAAUCAACUCCAUGGUCAGAUUCCUCAAGGCAAACAGUUCAACACAUUUGGAAAUGAUUCAUAUGAAGGAAACAAGGCAUUAUGUGGAUUUCCGGUCUCAAAAGGUUGCAACAUCAUUGAGCCAGCACCUCCAAAUGUGCUUGAAAAAGAUGGCUCAAAAUCAAACAUUACUUUUGGUUGGAAAGUGGUGUUGAUAGGUUAUGGAUGCGGAGUGGUGUUCGGAAUGUCCGUGGGAUAUGUUGUUUUCCAAACUGGUAAGCCGAAAUGGUUGGUGAAUUUGGUUGAAAUCCAACAUGAGAAGAAGCGAAGAAGAAAGUCAAAGGAUGGCAGUCGCAGCAAUGGACGAAGAAGAAUCUAGUUAGUGGAAAUGAUGUUCAAGUGUUGAUGUUGUAUCUUCAUAAUUUCUUGUUUUGAAGUCUGUCAAAUUUUUUUCCUAUCGUGAAAGGCUGCAUUGCCAUGCAUCUGUCUUUUUUAUUGUAACCAUUCAUCUAUAUUUCAUUGCAUUACGUAGUAUUUGUAAGGGUUUGUUUUAAAUGUAACAUUUUGUAUGGUUCAACUAUUUAUGUCUCUUUCAUGAGUUUCAUUUUUGAGUCUCAAUAAUCUCUGCAUUCAAGAUUUUGUCAGCUUAUUAAUUGGUGGAUCAAUAAUCUUCAUGCUCAUCUCAUCAUCUUUUUCUCGAGUUAAACACAGUCACUACUAUAAUAAUUUCUUCUGUGUGGAAAAUAAUUUGGCAUUCUGCAAAUUUCCACAAUGCUUGUGGAUUACCUCUGGUUGACGGCUAUACAUAUAAAGGAAGGAAACAAGACUAUGUCAAAAUUUCCAAAAAUCAGUCAUUCAUUUUUGAACAAUUAAACAUUCGUAUUCUAUUUUUCAAAAUUGUAAAUCCUCAAAUAAUGUAAAUUAGUCCUAAAACUCAAGUUUUGAAAUCUUUACAAUUUAACCCCUUAUAGUUUCAAACUUUACUAUUUUAUGCUCAACUUUCUAAAUCUUCAUAUUUCAUGAUCAUAUAAUUUAGUUAUUACAUCAAUAUUUCAGAUUUCACUACUCAAACCCUUACUUCAUUUUGGUCCUUACUUCAAUUUUAUCAAAUUAAAUCAUUUUUCAAUUUGAAUGCAUUGAUGUGAAAUUAAGGGACCACUAAACAAUGUUGAUGCGAGUUUAGGCAAAAUUGGUGGAUCCCAUCUCCACAGCAAUUUCUUUAUGGAAGUACUUGCUUUCACACUGCAAACUUGGAUAGUUUGUGGUGGACGAUGAUGAAUCAUUUCACAAUCAAACACACCAUUUUUAAACACAUAUAUUGAAAUCAUUAUUAAAAUUAUAAUCAAAAUUAAUACAAGUUCUUUUUAUUAGCUUAAGGGCGUAAAAACUCUUCAAAAUUUUCCAAAUAAAAAAUAAAAAAUUUAAGUCCCUCUUUUUUUUUUACACUCAAUUGAGUACUUAAACUUUUAAAAUGUAUCAAAAAUAUCUUAACACUUCUUCAAAAAAAGCAAUUAAACCCCCUUUUUUUUCCGCUCAAUUGGGUACUUGAAUUUUCAUAAUGCAUCAAAAAUACCUUAAUUUUUUUUUCAAAGAAACAAUUAAGCCUCUAUUUUUUUCCUACUCAACUAGGUACUUGAACUGUCAAAAAAACAAUUAAGCACCUACUCUUAUUAAAAAUUAGAAAAAAAAUCAUAAAAAUAAGAAAAAUUUAGAAAAAAUUAUUAAAUUUUAAUAAAAAUUUAAAAACUUAUUAAAAAUUAGAAAAAAUUUUAGAAAAAUUGUCAAAAAAUAAAAAAUUAUAAAAUUUUAUAAUUAAGCACUCUUAAAAUUUUGAAAAUUCUCAUUAAUCUCACACAAAUUUAAAAUUUUUUAUUAGACCCCCAAUUUUUUUUAAAAAUGUUAUUAAACCCUUAAAUUUUUAGAAAAUUUUACCUGCCCCCUCCCAAAAAAAAAACUAGUCCCAACUCUUAGGAUCCGCCAUUGGUACUUGGUAUUAACACUAUUAGAAAAUUGCUAAAUCAACCAAUGAAAAUUUGACACAUGGAACCCUUUUUUUAAAUUAUCAAGUUACGGAUGUUCUUCAAGGGCAUGGAACUCAACUUGAAAAUUUUACUAAUUUGGUUGCAAAAAACAUUGAGGAAGCAUAUAAUGAUCUAACCCUUUUUUGUUUUGUUCUGUUUUUAAUUUGUUAUGGGAUUCUAUUGAAUGAUAAUUUUUUUUAUUUCCCAUACUUGGUUCUUCAACAACAACAUAUUCGAGAUUUUAUUUUUCUAGAAUUUUUAUAUAAAAGUUUGUAUUUUUUAAAAUAAUUUUGAGUUUUUUAUAAUUUUUAUAUAGAAUCGAGGUAAAUUGGCAAAAAAUUAUAAAAAACAAAAUACUAAAAUUGUUUAGUUAAGUGACCAAAGCGAAGAUCUACCCAUAGUUCAGUGGCUAAUUAUGUAGUUUACCCUUUCAUAAUUAAAAAAAUAGUUGUUCAGUUUUUCUUGUAUUAGAUAACAUUUUAGAUGGUAAAAACCCUCUUUAGUCCCUCUCAAUUUUGAUAUUAAGUAAAUUGGUCCAUUUUUUUUUAAAAAAAUCAAAGCAAUUUAAUCUUUGUUAAUUUCGAAAGUGAGCAACUAAGGACAAUUAAUCACAAUGUCAAUAUUUUCCAUCAAUUGUACAUAUUUUUAUUGGUAUAAUAACAAAUUUAGCUCUCCAAGUUUACACAUUCUAUCAAUUUGUUUUGAUUUAACAAAUUUAGCCCGCAACAGUUACAUAUUCUAUUAACAUUUACACAUAAUAUAUAAACAUCGAGAGCUUAAUUUGUUAUUAUAUAAAUAAAAUUAUGUACAAUUUACAGAAAGCAUUAACACAAUAAUUAAUUGUCCUUAGUUGCUCCAUUUCAAAAUUGAUAAUGAUUAAAUUGCUCUAAUUUUCUGAGAGAAACCAAUUUCUUCAAUAUAGAAAUUGAGAGGGACGAGAAAUGUGUUUUUAUCCAUUUUAGAUACUAACAAGUGUUUGGCGUAGUGGCAAGGCAUAUUACAUUCUCAAGGAGAGAAUGCGUAUUCAAACGUUGGAGAUAAUAAUAUUGUGUGGGGUAUCCACGGAUCUCGAACACAGACUGUAAAACAUAUAUAAAAAAUAAAAAGAAUAACAUCUUAAUUUAAAUAAUUAAUAAAUUUUAAUUUCAAAAAAGUAUUUUGAGAAACAUAGGUUUUAGUAAAUAGUAAAAUUGAAUCGAUAAAACAUGUCCAGUAUAUCAGAAUCAUAAAAAUACAACUUAAUUAAUUUGAAUUUAAACUUAACUCGACUCAAUUUGAUUAUAAAAAACUGAUAAUUUGAAUCCAAAAUGACAUGAUCUUGAAAUGAUUUGAAUUAAUUGUCAAACCCAAACGACAAAACUCGAAAUGAUGCAAUCCAAAAACACAAGUCAAAUGAACUAAACUAUGAAAGAAAAAAAAAACCUUACACCGACUCAAAUCCAAAAUAAUUUAAUCCUAAAAUAACCCAAAUUUUAUAUAAUAUAAACUCGAAAUAACCCGAUAAUUUUUUUCAGUCUUACUGUGUUUAUCUUUAUAAGUAUUCUUGUUUUCCUUGCCCAUACAUGUAUUGUAGUUAUCAAAAAAUAUAUUCUACUUUGGAUUUUAUUUAUAUUAAAUUUUAGGUUAAAUUCCGCUAUUACUCUCUGUACUUUAUGAAAAUGAUGGAUUUAAUCAUUGUACGUUAAUUUAAUCAAUUUUAGUCUUUGUAUUUUUUGAAUUGGUCAAUUUUAAACCAUUUACUUUUUGAAUUUUGAAAUUUUAGUCUUGAUUCAAAUAAUAUUAAUAAUAAUAAAAUCUGCUUAUUUAAAUUUAAUUAUUAGUUUUGUACUAUGUAGACAAUUAUAGAUUUAAUCCAUAUUUUUCAAUUGGGUCAUUCCAAGUCUUUAUACUUUUCAAAUUUUAAAAUUUCAAUAUUGAUGCAGAAUGCGAGUUGCUAUUAAUUAAUUGAUUUUUUUAGCCAAUGCAUGUAGAAAUAAUAAGUUGUUAUGUCAUUAUACUUAAAAUAAUAUAUUGGUUUAACCCGCUUAAAUUAUGUCUUUUUUUCCAUCUUGGGACCUAAAUUUUUUUGGGGUCAUAAGUGGUACCUAAACUACUUUUUUUUCUCCUUCAAAUUAGGGCUCCUUUGGAUCACCAGCAAGUUUCAGUGUGGUGAGAUUUAAAGAGUAAAAAAAAUUUGAACUGAAACGCAGCUCUAUUUGGGGUGUUUGGCAAGCACACCAGUAAGCAUUUUUCACCUCACUGUAACCCAAAAUAUUGGCUGGAGUUAAAAGCUUCAGUGGACUGAUUUGGAAGUCCAAAAAUAAGAGUAAUUAUUAUUUUACCCCUCCAAUUCUUCCUUUAUUAUUUAUUUUAUUUAAAACAGAUAACAUAAGUUUAAUAUGUCAUUAUUUAAUAUUAUUUAAUUUACAAUAAAAUUAUAAUUUUUAUUUAUAAAUUUAGUAUAAAUACAAUUUAAUUUAUAUUUUAUUAUUUGAUUCAAAUAUAAUCUGUAAAAAUAUUUUGAUAUUUUAUUAUGAAUAUAAUUUAAAAAUAUUUUAUUGUAUAUUUAAAAUAUUUUGAUAUUUUAUUAUGAAUAUAAUCUGUAAAAUAUUUUGAUAUUUUUGAAUUUUUCUCUAGUUUUAAUUUAUUUUUAAUUAUUUAUUAUUAAAAAUAAAUAUAAUUGUAAUAAUUUUUAAUUAUUUAUUAAUUUUGUAAUUGUUAAAUAAUUUUAAAAACUUCUAUUAUAUAUAUUUUUAAUCUAAUGUCCUUAAAAGUCAUUUUCUAUUUUCACCUCACCGCUACAACUGCGUUUGAAUCCAAACACACACUCCACCGCUGUUUCUAAUCUCACCGCUACAGUAUCCAAUCUCACCGCUACAGUACCUAAUCUCACCGCCACCGCUGUUUUUAACCUUACCGGAACUAAACACACCGCCCAUCCAAACCCACCCUUAGUAUAUUCAUUAGUUAAACUGUUAAGUCUAUUUAAAAAAGAAAGACUCGGACAACAAAUUAAUACUUAAACAAUGCUCUUUUUCCCAAGGUACCUAAUUUUUAUUUUGGCCAUGAGUAUUACUAAAACUAUUAUUCCAUUACUCAUUUUACACCAAAAUGUUAUAUCGGCUGAAAAGAUUCCAACAAAUAAUAGAUUGUAUGUCAUAUAAACUUUUAAAAAUAAUUAUUAAUUAAUUUUUUUCAUAUAAACUGAACGGUUUGACUAAUGACGGAGGUACCAAAUUAUAGUCUAGGUACCAAUUUAUGGGUUAAGCCUAUUUCUAAAAUAGACUUUUGACUAAUGGCGGUAGUAACUUGGGAAAAAAAAGUAGUUUAUGUACCACUUGUGAACAAAAAUAAGUUUAGGUACCAACAUCGUAAAAUGAGUAUAAUUUAGAUACCGAUUUAUGAGUUAAGCCUAAUAUAUUUGUUGCAUCAUUUUUUUGAAAAUAACAGAACUUAAUAAAUUUAACGGUUAUUUUUUGGUGAUGACUAAAAUUUUAAAAUUUGAAAAGUACAUGAACUAAAAAUGACCAAAUUAAAGUAUAAAGAUUAAGUCCACAACUUUUACAAAGUACAAGGAGUAAUAGCAGAAAUUAACCUAAAUUUCAUAUGGGUCACUUACAAAAAUAAUCACUAAACUAUUCCUUUGGUUCUAUUCUAGUCACUCAACUAUAAAGGUGCUCAUGAGCCGGGCCAGGUCAGGCCUAAGCAUGAUAUUAACGUACCUUAUGCUUGCUCAAGCUUGGCUCGGCCCGAAAUAUGAGCUUAAAAUUUCGCCUAAACUCAUCCAUAUUUGCAAAAGACUAACCUAAGCUCAUUUUAGGCAUGCCCAUAUAAUUUUUAGUUUUUUUUUAAUAUUUAUAUUAUAUUAUAUUAAUAAUUAAUAAUUUAAACUUUUUUUAUUUAUUGAAACUUUUUAUAUAGUCAUUUUAACAUUAUUUUAAUGUUUACAUUAUAGUAUUAUUAUAUAUUUAGUAUAAGUUUAUUUUGUUAAUCUAUUCUAAACUAUAUAAUAUAAAGUAUCAUACACUUAAAAAUAGGCCGAGCUGGGCUUGAGCUUUGAAUGUUCAAGCCUGAACUCAGCCCAAAUUUUAAACGGGCCUAAUUUUUUUACCCAAACCCAAUUUUUGGGCCUAAUAUUUUUAUCCAGACCCUCCCAAAUUUUGGGCAGCCCUUGGGCCUUGGCAAGUAGCCCAACUCAUUAACAAGUUUACUCAACUAUUAAUUUUUUCGAUUUAGUUGUUAACCUUUUCGAAAGUAAAUAUUUUAGUCACUCUCCUGUUAGGUGUUGUUAAAUGAGUGAUGGAAAGCUAAUGUGGGCUUUUUUUAUUAGUCUAAAAACAAAUUUUGCCCUCUAAUGUUUACACUUCUAUCAAUUUGAUCCUAGAUAUAAAAAAAAAUCAAAAAAUUUAGCCCUGAAUAUUAUCAAAAAUUAGCGAUUUAGUUCUAAUUCUAAAAAUUUUAAUAUAUACAUAUAUUUAAAAAAAUAUUUUUAAUCCUCUGUCUCACCCUUUGAUUUUUUUAGAGAUAUUCAAAAAUUAAAAUAUAUCAUUAUGUCUUUUCGUUUUAAUGCUAAAAGAGAUAAAAAAAAUAGAAAGCUAAAAUGACUUUUCAUUUGUAAAGUUAAAAAAUACUAAAUAAAUCAUUAUAUCUUUUUAGUUUUAAUUUUUUACUUGAUUAAAAGAGAAAUAAUUAACGAAUGAAAAAUAAUUAUUCCCAAAUAAAUUUAUAAGAAAUGAGAUUUUGCUAAAAGAAAAAGCAUGUAAAAGUAUACACGUUCUUAUGAAAUACAAAGAUUUUGCUAAAAGAAAAAGUAUCCAAUUUUAAGAAUGAAAAAUAUAUGGUAAAAGGAAGACUAAGUGGUUGUUGAAAAAUACAAAAAUUUUGAAAAUCUAAUAUCCAUAACUUUUCAAUGUAAAAGAAAAAAAUGACUGUAACACCAAUGUUGUGGUAUUAUUUGUUGCCUAUAAGUACCAUUCCUAUCCUUCAUCUUCCUCUACCAACAUAACAUGGCCUCCUAUCUCUUUCUGUCCCUGUUCCUCUUCUUUCCCCAUCUUUAUGCUUCUUUUUCUUCUUCAGGAUCUCACUCCUGCUCUUCACUAAUCCAGUUCAAGAACUCUUUUUCCAUCACAGAGUAUGCUUCUUAUCAUUGCAAUGAGAUUGCUGGCCUUCAAUCUUAUCCCAAGACAAAUUCAUGGAAGGAGGGUACAGAUUGCUGCUCAUGGGAUGGGGUCACUUGUGACCACCUAAAUGCUCAUGUUAUUGCCCUUGACUUGAGCUGCAGUUGGCUAUAUGGCAACUUCCCUUCCAAUUCCACUCUCUUCCUUCUUCCUCACCUUCAAAAACUCAACCUUGCCUACAAUCAUUUUAAUCGUUCCAAAAUGCCAUCCGAGUUCGGUCGGUUUACAAGCCUACUCUACCUCGACCUUUCCAGUACAGGGUUUGCAGGAGAAGUCCCAUCCCAAGUCUCCCACUUGUCAAAAUUGGUUUCACUUAAUCUUUCUUGGAUUGGACAACAAUUAACAAUUGACAAACAUGCUCUGGAGGGACUUGUUCACAACCUAACCGAGGUCAGGUAUCUGUUUUUGGAUGGAAUCAACAUGGCUUCUGUUAAUGCUCAAGUCUUUAUGAAUCUAUCCUCUUCUCUAAGGUCUCUCAGUCUUUCUGGUUGUGAUUUGCAAGGAAAAUUCCCAAAAAACAUUUUUGAUUUGCCAAACCUCAAUCUCCUCAACUUUGGAGACAACCAAUUGAGUGGACAAAUUCCAAGAUUAUUGGGGAACCUCUUGCAACUCACUUCUUUAGACUUGUCGUUGAACCAAUUGAGUGGACAAAUUCCAUUGUCAAUUCUAAACCUAACGCAGCUGGAAUUUUUGGCAAUAUCUGAAAAUUUAUUAGAAGGUUCCAUUCCAGAUGAAGUAACCGCUUUUCCUAACCUAAAAUUUUUAUACUUAGAUAACAAUUUACUCAGUGGAACACUUCCGUCAUGGUUGUAUACUGCUCCCUCAUUAGACAGUAUAGGUCUCUCUCAAAAUCAAUUCAGUGGGCAUAUCAAAGAAUUCCAAUCCAAAUCACUAGAAUGGAUAGCGUUAGAGAAUAAUAAACUCCAAGGUCCUCUUCCAUCUUCAAUAUUCCAACUUCUCAAUCUUACCCGCCUCUUUUUAUCCUCAAAUAAUCUUAGUGGUGUCAUAGAGUUUCGCAUGUUCUCAAACCUUCCAAAUCUCGACCUUCUUGACCUUUCAUAUAACAGCCUAUCCUUAACAUCUAAUACUACUUCUACUGUUAAUCAUAUAUUGCCUAAUCUUACAAUGUUAUUUUUGUCAUCUUGCAAUCUUAGUGAAUUCCCCCAAUUUUUGAAAGGGCUUAAAAGGUUGGAAAUGUUAGACCUCUCUUGCAACAAACUUCAAGGCAAGAUUCCACAGUGGAUGCAAGAGGUGGGGAAUGUCUCUUUGACUUUCUUAAACGUAUCUCACAACUCUUUGACAGAAGUUGAGCACUUUCCGUGGAAUAAUAUUGCAGUUCUGGACUUAAGCUCCAAUUUGAUCCGUGGAAAUCUUCCGAUUCCAGCUUCGAAGAUCAAUGUCUUUCUGAUCUCAAAUAAUAGUUUCAAUGGAGAGGUCUCUUCUUUAAUCUGCAAUGCCAGUGAUCUUGAAAUUCUUGAUUUGUCCCACAAUAACUUGAGUGGAACAAUUCCGCAAUGUUUUGGAAAUUUGAGCAACAGCCUUGAAUUCUUGAAUCUGAAGAAGAACAAGUUCUAUGGGACGAUUCCUCCAACAUUUGCAGAGGGAUGCCAAUUGAGUAAUUUCAACUUAAAUGGAAAUCUGUUAGAAGGGCCUUUGACACCAUCCAUCCUUAAUUGUAAUGAUCUGGAAGUGCUAGAUCUUGGUAACAACAAGAUCAAUGAUACAUUUCCUCAUUGGUUGGGAAGUCUUCCACAGCUACAAGUUCUUGUAUUGAAGUCAAAUCAUAUGCAUGGUUCCUUGCGUGUCAAUAGCUCCAAGUCUAGCCCUUUUUUCUCUAAAAUCCAAAUUUUUGAUCUCUCAAGUAAUUAUUUUUCUGGACCCCUACCAGUGAGAUACAUCAACAGCUUCAAGGCUAUCAUAAAUCUAGAGAAGAUUGGUAGUACAGUGUCGUACAUGGGGGUGAAUGAUGGCUUCUAUACCUAUUCCAUUGGAAUUGUUAUAAAAGGACAAUAUAUGGAAUUGGUGAAAAUUUUCACCGUGUGGAUGAUCAUUGAUCUAUCAAACAAUCAGUUUGAAGGGGGUAUUCCAGAGGUUUUUGGGAAGCUUAACUUACUGAAAGGGCUCAACCUUUCUCAUAAUAACCUUAAUGGUGGUAUCCCUACCUCAAUAGGGAAUUUGACAAGUCUUGAAUGGUUGGACCUAUCUUCAAACAGGUUGUCUGGGACGAUUCCAAAUAGAUUGGCAGAUCUGCCAUUUCUUUCGUCCUUCAAUGUUUCUGAAAAUCAACUCCAUGGUCAGAUUCCUCAAGGCAAACAGUUCAACACAUUUGGAAAUGAUUCAUAUGAAGGAAACAAAGGAUUAUGUGGAUUUACGGUCUCGAAAGGUUGAAACAUCAUUGAGCCAGCACCUCCAAAUGUGCUUGAAAAAGAUGGCUCAAAAUCAAACAUUACUUUUGGUUGGAAAGUGGUGUUGAUAGGUUAUGGAUGCGGAGUGGUGUUCGGAAUGUCCGUGGGAUAUGUUGUUUUCCAAACUGGUAAGCCGAAAUGGUUGGUGAAUUUGGUUGAAAUCCAACAUGAGAAGAAGCGAAGAAGAAAGUCAAAGGAUGGCAGUCGCAGAAAUGGACGAAGAAGGAUCUAGUUAGUGGAAAUGAUGUUCAAGUGUUGAUGUUGUAUCUUCAUAAUUUCUUGUUUUGAAGUCUUUCAAUUUUUUUCCUAUGGUGAAAGGUUGCAUUGGCAUGCAUCUGUCUUUGUUAUUGUGACAAUUCAUCUAUAUUUCAUUGCAUUACGUGGUAUUUGUAAGGGUUUGUUUUAAAUGUAACAUUUUGUAUGGUUCAACUAUUUAUGUCUUCUUUCAUGACUUUUAUUUUUGAGUCUCAAUAAUCUCUGCAUUCAAGAUUUUGUCAGCUUAUUAAUUGGUGGAUCAAUAAUCUUCAUGCUCAUCUCAUCAUCUUUUUCUCGAGUUAAACACAGCCAAUACUAUAACAAUUUCUUCUGUGUGGAAAAUAAUUUGGCAUUCUGCAAAUUUCCACAAUGCUUGUGGAUUGCCUUUGGUUGACAGCUAUACAUAUAAAGGAAGGAAACAAGACCAUGUCAAAAUUUCCAAAAAUUAGUCAUUCAUUUUUUAAAAUUGUAAAUUCUCAAGUAAUGUAAAUUAGUCCUAAAACUCAAGUUUUGAAAUCUUUACAAUUUAACCCCUUACUAUUUUAUGCUCAACUUUCUAAAUCUUCAUAUUUCAUGAUCAUAUAAUUUAGUUACUACAUCAAUAUUUGAGAUUUCACUACUCAAACCCUUACUUCAUUUUGGUCCUUACUUCAAUUUUAUCAAAUUAAAUCAUUUUUCAAUUUGAAUGCAUUGAUGUGAAAUUGAGGGAGCACUAAACAAUGUUGAUGCGAGUUUAGGCAAAAUUGGUGGAUCCCAUCUCCUUAGUAAUUUCUUUAUGGAAGUAGCUGCUUUCACACUGCAAACUUGGAUAAUUUGUGGUGGACGAUGAUGAAUGAUUUGACAAUCAAACACAUAAUUUUUAAACACAAAAUUAACGAUAUAUUGAAAUCAUUAUUGAAAUUAUAAUCAAAAUUAAUACAUGUUUUUUUUAUUUGCUUAAGGUGUAAAAACCCUUCAAAAUUUUCAAAAAUAAAAAUAAAAAUUUAAGUCCCUCUUUUUUUUUUUAACACUCAAUUGAGCACUUAAACUUUUAAAAUGUGUCAAAAAUAUCUUUACACUUCUUCAAAAAAAGCGAUUAAACUCUUUUUUUUUUCGCUCAAUUGGGUGCUUGAACUUUCAUAAUGCAUCAAAAAGACCUUUUUUUUUCAAAGAAACAAUUAAGCCUCUAUUUUUUUCCCACUCAAUUGGGUACUUGAACUUUCAUAAUGCAUCAAAAAGCAAUUAAGGCCUUUUUCAUGCAUUAUGAAAGUUCAAGUACCGAAUUGAGUGCAAGAAAAAAAAAGUAGGGGCUUAAUUGCUUUUUUUGAAAAUGUUUGAGGGCCUUUUUGAUGUAUUUUGAAAGUUCAAGUACCCAAAUGAGUGCAUAAAAAGAACAGGGGUUCAAUUGCCAUUUUUGAAAAAGUUUGAGGGCUUUUUGCACCCUUAAACCUCUUUUCUUUUUCUAAAUUUAAUUUAGAACCAACUUUGAGUAAAGACUUGGGAAAUUUAAUUACCAAAAUUUCUUUCCAUGCAAAAAUUUCCCCUAUUUCUUGUUUGAAUUUAAAGCAAUACAAUAUUUUUCUAGCUAGUAAUAGAAAAUGACAGUCAAUUCAUUCCAAGCAAUGCAAAAUUUCCAGUCUGGUGGAAAAUUUGUUUCUUAGAUACUAUUAUUCAACUUUUAAGGCAUAAGUUUGAAUAUAGGGACUACAUUUUUAAAGUGUUGUUUACUACACACUUAGGGACCAUAUAUGUGUAUAUAUAUAUAUAUAUAUUCCAGUCUGGGUCUUUGUCGUGUUUUGUUGGUUGGCUAUGGCCUUGUUGCUGUUUCCACUGUCUGUGGUCUUUGUUUCUAAGUCAUAUGUGGCCUUGUUUGCUACAACUUAGUUGCUAAGUUAAAGGGAGUUAAUAGAGCACCAUUUUCUUCUUUUGCGUGGAAAAUAAGUUGGCGUUAUGCCAAUUUCCACAUUCAUACAUAUAAUGGAAGCAAGAGCAAGUCAAUAUACUUUGUAAUCUCAUCACUUCUUCUUCUUUCUUUGGGGAGUUCAAAUGAAAUACAAAUUUUGAGUAAAUCAACUAUUCAUUGACGGUACAAACGAGUUAAAAUUUCCAGCAUUCAUGUCUUUGUUUUCCCUCAAGUAAACGUAGUCAAUACUGCAAAUGGUGUGGAAGUAUUGUACAUUGUGGCCCAAAUGUCCAAAAUUUCCCCAUUGCUUGUAAAUGAAAUUUGGGUGAGAGAGAUGGGAGGAAGCAACAGCAAGUGUGAAGUCAAUAGACAAUUGACAGUCUUUAUUCUUUUGUGUGGAAAAUUAUUUGGGACCAAACUUGACUUGUUAUAAGGAAGAAGACUUUGUAAUCUCAUAAAUGUUAAUUAUUUUACUUCUUUGGUAAAAAAAAAAGUAAUCAAUUUUAUGAAUGAAAAAUAUAUGGUAAAGAGGAAGUAGUUGUUGAUCACUAAUAACAUGAUGAUUGUGGAAAUACAAAAAUUCCCGUAUAUGUGUUGAAUUCUGCAUAAUGUAAAUGUCCCGCAUUGCAUGUGAAUUCUGCAAUAAACUAAACUUUACGUGUUAUAGUUCUUUAAACCGAGUUAAUGAAAAGUAACCAUUCUUAUCAAAAUUAGUUAUACUCCUAAUUUAUAACAAAGGAAAUAAUAAUUUGAGUUUAACUCAAAGGUUAAUAUGUCAUCAAUGGGCGAUGGCGUGGUGCUACCAUGUCAGCGAUUAUUUUCUUCUUUGAGUUAAGGUGAUUUCACCAAUUUUAGGUUACUUUUUUACUUCAAUUUAGGUUUAUGCUUAUUAGCUUCGAAGAUUCUAAGUGGGUGCCACAAUCAAAGGGUGAGUAAAAAGGGUUAAAAAUGAUUUUUUUUAAAAAAUAUUUUUAUUUUUUUAUUAAAAAUUUAGAAUUAGAAUUAGACAAAUUUUGUAAAUGUUAAGGCUAACUUUAUUGAAUUUUUUUUUUCAGAAUUUGAACUAAAAUGACAAAUUUUGUAAAAAGCACUAAAUUUGUUGAAUUUUUUACAUUUAGGAUCAAAUUGAUAGAAUGUGUAAAUAUUAGAGGUUAAAUUUGUUAUUAGAUGAAUAAAAAAAACCCACAUCAACUUUCCAUCACUCAUCUAACGACAACUAAAGGGAGAGUGAUUAAAAUAUUUAAUUUCAAAAAGUUUAGCAACUAAAUUGGAAAAUUUAAUAGUUGGGUGACUAUUUUUAUAGUUUACAAUUUUUUUGGUCACCUGACUAUUAAGUGACACGUUUUAGUUGGUAUAAUAAUAAUUUUAGUCCUCAAUUUUUAUACUUUCUGUCAAUUUAACUCUAAUUAUAUAAAAUGAUUACAAAAGUGAAAUUCUUUUUAAAUUUUACAAAAUUCUAAAAAUUAAAUGAAAGUAGAUAAAAAUUUCAAAUAUAAAUAAAGUGAGAGAAAAUGAGGAAAAUAUUAUUUUUAAACCCUCCAAAUUUUAUUUGUAUUAUCUGUAAAGCAAUAUCUAAUAUCCAUUCUUUUAGAAAACAUAGAAAAAGGUAAAAAAAAGCUUAAGUAAAAUUAUCUGUAUAUAAUCUGCUUUUAUAAUUUGGGUUUUUAAAAAUAAAUUUAAAUGAAUUGAAAAUUUGAAUUGAGUUUGAAAAAGAAAAUUUUGUGGUAUAUUUUAUAUUUUUGCUAGAAAAAUAGCAUCAAAGUCGAUUUCGUAAGCUUUUGUAAUAUCAGUUACGGAUGUUCUUCAAGGGCAUAGAACUCAACUUGAAAAUUUUACUAAUUUGGUUACAAAAAAACAUUGAGGAAGCAUAUAAUGAUCUAACUUUUUUUUUCUGUUUUUAAUUUGUUAUGGGAUUCUAUUGAAUGAUAAUUUUUUUUAUUUCCCGUAUUUAGUUCUUCAACAACAACAUAUUCGAGAUUUUAUUUUUCUAGAAUUUUUACAUAAAAGUAAAGUUUGUAUUUUUUAAAAUAAUUUUGAGUUUUUUAUAAUUUUUAUAUAGAAUCGAGGUAAAUUGGCAAAAAAAUUAUAAAAACAAAAUACUAAAAUUGUUUAGUUAAGUGACCAAAACGAAAAUCUACCCAUAGUUCAGUGACUAAUUAUGUAGUUUACCCUUCAUAAUUAAAAAAAUAGCUGUUAAGUUUUUCUUGUAUUAGAUAACAUUUUAGAUGGUAAAAACCCUCUUUAGUCCCUCUCAAUUUUGAUAUUAAGUAAAUUGAUCCAUUUUAAAAAAAAAAUCAAAGCAAUUUAAUCUUUGUUAAUUUCGAAAGUGAACAACUAAAGAUAAUUAAUCACAAUGUCAAUAUUUUCCAUCAAUUGUACAUAUUUUUAUUGGUAUAAUAACAAAUUUAGCUCUCGAAGUUUACACAUUCUGUCAAUUUGGUCUUGAUUUAACAAAUUUAGCCCGCAACAAUUACAUAUUCUAUUAACAUUUACACAUAAUAUAUAAACAUCGAGAGCUUAAUUUGUUAUUAUAUCUGUAAUACCCAAAUUUUGCCCGGCCCAAGCCCAAGUAUCAAAACCCAAAUAAAAAAUAUACAUAAUAAAAGUCCAAUAACAUCAGUCCAGAUUACAAACCAAAUAAAUUAAGCCCAAACUCGAUUACAAAGUCCAAAUUCCCAAGCACAAACUGUUAACCCAACACUCCAGCCCCAAAUUAUUAGCCCAAAAUCAAACCCACUAAGCCUAAUCAGCCAACCCUAACCCGAACGGCCUACAUACCUAGCCCUAAAACAUUUUCAAAAAAACCUAAAGCAACUAUUUGCCUCAGCCGCCGCAACAGUAGCCUCCCACACGCGCGCCUCUCAUUAUCUUGAAGUAUCUUUUUGAAAUUGAUUAUUAAUUUAUGGGGUGCUUAAUUAUUGAUAUUAGUAUUUGUAUGAUAUGACUAAAAUAAUUAUUGUUAUUUGCAUUUACCUAUUAUUUGUUUGUCUUCUUAAUGUAUGUUUGGGUUGUUAUUUAUCCUUUUCGUUAUGUAUUGCUAUUCAAUCAUGUUUCAUUUGUAAGAAUUGUAUUUUUAAAGCACAACAGAUCAUUCUAUUUCAUAAUUUUCAAAAAGGCCUGAUGUUCAUAGCUCUCGAGAGAAUUGUGCCCUAACUUACUGGGCUUCAAUUCUUCUCGAUGAAUUUGAAUAGCCAAGUGUUUAUUGUAUUAAAACCACACAACUUUUAAAAUAAAGUUUUCAAGAUUUUAAAUUGUUGGAUCCUAACUUACUGGAUGUGGCAUUUUGUUAUCCCAAUUUUAAAAUAAAGGCAAUGUUUGACGUUUAAGAACUUCGAGAAAUCGAAACCUAACUUACUGGAUUCUGAUUUCUCAUUUGACUUAAAUGACCGAAUAGCCUUCUCAAAAUGCAUGAAUUUUAAAAUUUGAAAAUUAAAAAGACAUACUUAAUUUUGACGAUUGAAUCGUUGCACUCUAACUUACUGAGUGUGGCAAUUUAUUUCUUUGAAAUGAGUGUGUUUUAUUAUUCAAAUUUAAACUUUAAAAGGAUCGUAUUUUUCGACACUAAGACAUUAAACAAUCGAUUCGGUACCAAUUUUGGGCGUUACGAGGGUACUAACCCUUCCUCGUGCGUAACCGACUCCCGAACCUAUUUUCUCAAAAUUCGUAGACCUAAAAUUAUUUUCAAGGUGAUCCGGUCACACCUCAACAAAAGAUCGGUGGCGACUCCCAUUUUCAUUUUCAAAGUCGAUUCCCAUUUUUAAAACAUAAAAAAUGGUUUCGGCAAUAUCAAUAAAAAUUAUGUACAAUUUACAGAAAGCAUUAACACAAUGAUUAAUUGUCCUUAGUUGCUCCCUUUCAAAAUUAAUAAUGAUUAAAUUGCUCUAAUUUUCUGAGAGGAACCAAUUUGUUCAAUAUAGAAAUUGAGAGGGACGAGAAAUGUGUUUUUAUCCAUUUUAGAUACCAACAAGUGUUUGGCGUAGUGGCAAGGCAUAUUACAUUCUCAAGGAGAGAAUGCGUAUUCAAACGUUGGAGAUAACAAUGUUGUGUGGGGUAUCCACGGAUUUGAACACGGACUAUAAAACAUAUAUAAAGAAUAAAAAGAAUAACAUCUUAAUUUAAAUAAUUAAUAAAUUUUAAUUUGAAAAAAGUAUUUUGAGAAACAUAAGUUUUAGUAAGUAGUAAAAUUGAAUCGAUAAAACAUGUCCAUUAUAUCAGAAUCAUAAAAAUACAACUUAAUUAAUUUGAAUUUAAACUUAACUCAACUCGAUUUUGAUUAUAAAGAACUGAUAAUUUGAAUCCAAAAUGACAUGAUCUUGAAAUGAUUUGAAUUAAUUGUCAAACCUGAACGACAAGACUCGAAAUGAUGCAAUCCAAAAACACAAAUAAAAUGAACUAAACUAUGAAAGAAAAAAAAAACCUUACACCGACUCAAAUCCAAAAUAAUUUAAUCAUAAAAUAACCCAAAUUUUAUAUAAUAUAAACUCGAAAUAACCCAAAAAUUUUUAAAUUAAAAUUGACCCGACCCAAAUUCACACCACCUAAAAUCAAUCGUAACCACCUAAUUAAAAAGCAUGAAAUGAAAUGAUGUAAAGAGAAAAUUAGAGAAAACCAAAUAGAAAGUAACAAGCUUUUUUCAGAAUUGAAAGCAAAUUCCGUACAUUCACGACAUGCAUAAAACAACAAUGGUUUAUAGAAUUUGAGUUUUAGUCCCUGUACUUUAAAAGUUAAUUUUUCUUAAUUUAAAAAUUUUAGUUUAAUCAUUCAUGUUGGUUGUAGUUUCCAUUAGCUUAAUCAACAUGUUAAAUUAUUAAAUUUUGAUAUAAAAUAUUUACGAGUUUAAUAAUUAUACUGAGAUUUUUAAAUAAAAAAGUUGGAAGACUUAAUUUCUAACAUUUUAAAUAUAGGGACUAAAAGCAUCUUUUAACUUUGAUAUUAUUAUUAUAAGCAGGGAUAAUGUCAUCUUUGGCAUCUGUACUUUUAUAAAAUGUCUAGUGGUACAAGUACUUUGAAAAUAUAUAAUGUGGUACCUGAACUAUCAAUAUGUGUUAUUAUUAUGGUACAUGUACUUUGAAAAUGUUUAAUGUGGUACCUAAACUAUCAAUAUAUAUUUUAUUAUGAUACUUGAUAAAGAUGGACUAUUAUUGGUAGCUUAAGGGGCUCUUUGUCCCGCCAUCCCUGCAAAAAAAAAAUUGGAGAAUUUUGUUUUUUCCUUUAAAAUUUUUAGAAAAUUUCAAUUAAGCCCUCAAAAUUUUUGAAAAUUUUCAUUAUACCUUUUAAUUUUUUAAAAAAUUUUAAUUAAGCACUCUUAAAUUUUGAAAAUUCUCAUUAAUCUCACAAAAAUUUUAAUUUUUUUAAAAAAAAUAUUAUUAAACCAUUAAAUUUUUAGAAAAUUUUACCUGCCCCCUCCCCCAAAAAAAAACCUAGUCCCAACCCCUAGGAUCCGCCAUUGGUACUUGGUAUUAACACUGUUAGAAAAUUGCUAAAUAAACCAAUGAAAAUUUGACACAUAGAACCCUUUUUUUAAUUAUCAAGUCCACGUGGAUAAAAUAAUAGUGAAAAACUAAAUAAAACAAUAAUUAAAUGAAAUAAAAAAACAAAUAACUAAACAUAUGGUUAAUAAAAAAAAGCCGUACUUUCAAAGAUAAUAAAAAAUAUUAUUUAAAAAUCAAUUGAAAAUAUUAUUUUAAAAGGAAAACUCUUUGGAGAAGAUGAUCAUUUGCUUAAAUGGAGAAUAUAAUAUUUUUGGUUAUGCAAGUUUAGUAUUUACUUCUUUUUUAUUAAUCAUAUGUUUAGUUUUUUUAAUUAAUUUAAUUGUUUUAUUUAGUUUUUCACAUAAUGUUAUUUUACACAUGCGGACUUGAUGAAUUAGAAAAAAAUAUUACGUGUUAAAUUUUCAUUGGUUGGUCUAAUAAUUCAUUAACGGUGGAUUUGUUCUACAUUGAUGACAAAGAUGUGGAGUUUAAAGAAGUAAGAACUUAUCAACAAUAUUCGAGGUUCUGUUGUAUGUUGCCUUAUUAAAGAAGUCUUCACUUAAAAUCUUCUAUGUUGCCUUAUGUAUGUAGGUUCUUGAGUCACCUUUGCCAAAAGCACCACAUGAUACAUCUGUUACAUCCCACUGGCUUGCGAUUUAAGGCAUUCAACCAGUAAUUCCAGAAAAUGCUUCAAUUGAAGGUACCGUCUUAGCUAACCUAAAUAUUCUCUCGAAGCUAUUUGUGUUGAAGACUCUCAUGGUUCAUGUUCUUUUCUGGUUUUAUCACUUUAAUCUAAUACGAGUUAUCUUCAUUUCUACAUGGAAUUGGUAUUUUGCUUUCCAUGCAGCACCUUCUGAUGGUAAAAAGGCUGAAUACAAAGAAGAUGGGCUUUCCGUUGAUGUCAAAUUAUUUGUUAAACAUGUAUUAUCUAGAGAGCUUCAAGUAUGUUGUACAUCUUCAGCAACAUUUUUAUGUUAAAAUACAUUUUGCACAGAAUGAUAUUAAAAGACUAAUUUGGUUGUCAUGCAGCUUUACUUUGACAAGAUCGUGGACAUUACCAUGAAUAAAUCAGUAUCAAUUCUCUUUAAACAAGCAUUACUGAGUUUGGCAACAGACUCGGGAUUACAUCCUUUAGUUCCUUAUUUUACAUAUUUCAUUGCGGAUGAGGUUGUCUUAAAGAUCUUUCAUACCUCAUUAUAUAUGUGUGUUGCAAAGAACUUUUGGUUGGUUAUCUCAAGCUUACAUUUUUGCCACAUUUAUCUCAGGUUGCACGGAAUUUGAAUAAAUUCCCUCUCAUGUUUGCUUUGAUGCGUGUUGCCCGGAGUCUUCUCGAGAAUGAACACUUACACAUAGAACCUUACGUGAGUUUAUUAUUUCAAUCAUUUAGAAGUACACGAACUAAUGCAAAUAUGCUAGUGGUUUAUUUUCCACCUAUCUGAUUUUUUAAAAUGUUCUUCAGUUACACCAGUUGAUGCCAUCUAUUAUUACCUGCCUUGUUGCAAAAAGGUUAGGAAAUAAAUUCACCGACAAUCAUUGGGAACUUAGAAACUUUGCAGCAAAGCUAGUGGCAUCAAUAUGCAAAAGGUGAAGAUUUCUUUUCUUUUGGACUUAUACAUGCAUAUUCGUUUUUAUGAAUUUCAGGUGUCGAGUUUUUAGUUAUAAACUUGGACCUAUUCUUCAAAUCAUGUGUAUAUCAUUUUUAUGCUAUUUCACACAUGCAAAACAAAUGGUGCAAGCAUGCAUGUUAUAUGCACAGAAUUGUUGAAAGCUGGACUGCAAUGCAACAUGGAGCCAGAAGCAUGCAACUGUCGAGACCAGCAGCUAUCAAGCUCAGCUCAUUUUGCUUGGAGCGCACGAAUGGUUUUUGGACCAAAUGAAGCAACUGACAUUGCUGUUUUGUUUUGAUGUAAUUUAGUUCAGUUUGAUUGUAACUAGCUUUAAUAGUUAGUAGGAUUAAGUUAGUGAUUAGAUAGCUGAUGUAAAAGCUGAUAUGGCAGCUCAUUUUGUAUUUGACUUUAACUUAUUUUGGUUGUAAAUUAGUGGAUGCAGUUAGAUUAGUAGGUAACUAUCAAAUGAACAAAUUGUAACUCCUUUUUAUUUCAAAAAAUUUUGGAUGAAACGUAAUAAUGUUCAGUUACAAUUCUGGCUGUACAUUCAAGUUUCUUGCUUGCUGCUCUGCUUGUUUUUCUUUUCUGCUUCGUUUACUCUUGCUUCUGCUUGCAAAUCUCUUUGUUGCUGCUGCCAUUGUUCCAACAAGAAUACAUAGAUUAAUUACGUGUGGAUCAUUAAGAAUGCCUAUGUAUUGGAAAUUGGCCAACCAUGCUGCUGUUACAUUUUGUGUUGAAGUGCAUGCAGCUUGAUGACAUGCUGCAGCACAUAUGCUUGCUGUAACAGCAAGGUUUCUCUUUAGUUUCAUCCUAAUUAAACUAGUUGAAAAUGAACAAGUUGAUGACAACUUGAUGCAUGAGGUGUUGAAUGAUUAGUUUAGGUGGCUUGUUUAUGUGUACAAGCAAUGUUUUAAUAGUCCCAAUGCUGAUUAGUGGGGUUAGUUGACUAUUUGGUGAUGUAUUUGACUAUAAAUGUAUGUUUUUUUUCGUUGAAUGAAUGAGCUGAAUAAGCUAUCAGCCAUAUGCUCCCUUGCUGCACAUUUGUGAGCAAGUAAAAAUACUUCUUGCAUCUUGCUUCAUUGUUCUGUGCUCUCUGUUCUCUUCUUUUGCUGCUGCCAAUGCUCCAACACUAUGUUUGACCAUUGUGUGUGGCUACUUUUUUUUUACAUGAUCCAAUUUUCGAUAUGAUAUGCUUUGCUUUUAGGUUGAAUGCGGAAAAGAUUAGAACUUAAUUUCCAGCAUAAUGAUUUGUCUUGGAUAUGCAGAUUUUUACAUGCAUUUCUUAAAAGUCAAUAUUUUAUAGAUUCGGGCAUGUUUAUCACAACCUUCAGCCACGUGUGACAAGGACACUGCUCCACGCUUUUUUGGACCCAACGAAAACAUUUCCCCAGCAUUACGGAGCAAUUCAAGGGUUAGCAUGUUAGAAAUCAAACCCACUCCAAGCAUAAUCUAGAAGCAUGAGACGUGGAGCAAUUUUGUGCCAUGCAAAGUGCUGAAAUUUUAGCCAUACAAAGUGCUCCAUUAUUGAGAUGUUUUGUGGCUGGAAAUUAAGUGGAUUAAUAGCCACAUUUGUUGUCACUUUAUCAGCCUAUAAAUAGAGGCUUGAACUUGUGUUGUAAAAAAGAAGAAAAAUGAGAAGAAAAAAGAAAUAAGAGAAGCAACGUGAGUGAGAGUGAGAAGGUUAGCAAACCUUGAGUGAGUUAAAAUCUAGCAGCAGCUAGACUAUCUAGUCAUUGAGAAAAUAUUUGUAAUCUUCGUAUUGUAAUAUAUUGAGUGUGUAAUAAAAAGUAAAUUUUCGGCCCAUCACGUUUCCAACAAGUGGCAUCAGAGCUACGGUUCGGAGCUUGGUUCGGAGUUCGGUUCGUGUCCGGUUCGUGUCCAGUUCGGAGUACCUUUGGUGUUCAUCUAACAAGUCGAUAUGGGCGACGUAAUUCAGCUACAAGUUCCACAAUUGACGAAGACAAAUUAUGGAAAUUGGAGCAUUCGAAUGAAGGCUUUGCUCGGUUCGCAAGAUUGUUGGGAGAUCGUUGAAAAAGGAUACAUCGAGCCCGGAGAUGCCGCUACAGAAGCAGCUUUAUCAAAUGACGCUAAGAAGGCGUUACGAGAAGCACGAAAGAAGGAUCAAAAGGCCUUGAAUAGUAUCUUUCAAGGUAUGGAUGAAUCAACCUUCGAGAAAAUAUCAGAUGUGAAGAACGCGAAGAAUGCAUGGGAGAUUUUGCAAAAAUCAUUUCAAGGUGUAGAAAAAGCUAAAAAGGUACGCCUUCAGUCACUUAGAGCUGAAUUUGAAAUGUUAAAAAUGAAGAGCUCCGAGAAUAUCGAUGACUAUGCCAAUCGUGUAAAAUCGGUGGUAAAUGAAAUGAAACGAAAUGGAGAAACUCUUGACGAGGUAAGAAUGAUGGAGAAAAUUCUACGGUCACUCACACGCAAAUUCGAGUACGUAGUCGUUGCCAUCGAAGAAUCAAAAGAUUUGUCAAAGAUGUCGCUCGAAGAACUUGUGGGUUCUCUGCAAGCCCAUGAGCAAAAGAUGAAGCUAAAUGAAGAUAGUGAAAAUCUUGAUCAAGCCUUGCAUAGCAAGUUGUCCGUCGACGACGGAGAAACAAGUAAUAACUUUAACCAAGGAAGAGGAAACCGCAGAGGAUACCGUGGAGGCUACCGUGGUGGAAACAGAGGAGGAAGAGGAUCACGAGGACGUGGAAAUCAAUCAUAUGGGAGAUAUCAAGAAAAUAAAGAUUAUCAAACAUCCAACCGUGGACGUGGAUCUAGAGGUCGUGGCCGAGGCAGAUUUCAAGAAAAUAAAUCUCAGGUACAAUGCUACAACUGUAACAAGUAUGGACAUUUCAGUUACGAGUGCAGAUCAACACACAAAGUGGAUGAAAGAAACCAUGUAGCAGUCAUAGCAGAAGGCAACGAAAAAGUGGAAUCAAGUGUCUUUCUCACUUACGGAGAAAAUGAAGAUCGCAAGAGAAGUGUGUGGUAUCUCGACAACGGUGCAAGCAACCACAUGUGUGGAAGAAAGGAGCUGUUCACAGAAUUAGAUGAAACAGUUCAUGGACAAAUAACUUUUGGAGACAACUCACAUGCAGAAAUCAAAGGAAAGGGCAAGGUUGUUAUAACACAAAGGAAUGGAGAGAAGAAGUACAUCUCAGACGUUUACUACGUACCAGCUUUGAAGAGCAACCUGAUCAGUCUUGGUCAACUCCUAGAAAAAGGAUAUGAAGUUCAUAUGAAAGACCGCUCACUCGCCAUCAGGAACAAAAGUGGAGAAUUAGUUGUUCGAGUUGAUAUGACGCGAAAUCGUCUUUUCACCCUCGACAUCGAGUCUGGAGAAGUAAAAUGCAUGAAGACGGAUCUGAAGAAUGAAUCAUGGUUGUGGCACUUAAGGUACGGACAUCUCGGAUUUUCUGGCUUGAAGCUGUUGUCGAAGACAAAUAUGGUGAAUGGAUUACCAAGUAUUAAUCAUCCAGAUCAACUGUGUGAAGCCUGUGUCAAAGGAAAGUAGCAUAGGCAGAAAUUUGAAGUAGGAAAAUCUCGAAGAGCUAGAAGACCAUUGGAAAUUGUACACACCGACAUAUCUGGUCCGUACGACAUUGAAUCACUCGGUGGAAACAGGUACUACCUAACUUUUAUUGAUGAUUAUAGCAGAAAAUGUUGGGUUUAUUUUCUCAAAGCAAAAUCGGAAGCCCUAGAAAAAUUCAAGGAGUUCAAAGCAAUGGUGGAAAAACAGAGUGGUCGAUAUUUGAAGAUACUCAGAUCCGAUAGAGGAGGCGAGUAUACUGCAAAGCUUUAUGAAAGUUUCUGCAAAGAUCAUGGAAUCAUUCAUCAGUUAACAGCCAGACGCACUCCACAACAAAACGGAGUUGCAGAAAGGAAGAAUCGGACAAUUCUGGAUAUGGCAAGAAGCAUGAUAAAAGGUAAACACCUUCCGAGAAAUUUCUGGGCUGAAGCCGUUGAAUGCGCAGUUUAUCUGUUGAAUCAAUGUCCAACAAAAAGUGUAAGACACAAGACACCAGAAGAAGCAUGGAGCGAUCACAAGCCAAGAGUUGGACACCUCAAAAUUUUUGGAUGCAUUGCAUAUGCACACGUUCCUGAGCAACAGAGGAAAAAGCUUGACGAUAGAGGAGAGAAGUGUAUCUUUAUAGGCUAUGACAAAAGAAGUAAGGCCUACAGACUUUAUAAUCCUCUUACUAAGAAAUUGAUUAUCUCAAGAGAUGUCGAGUUCGAUGAAGCGGAUUACUGGAGAUGGAGUGAAGAAGAAAAGAAAGUGGAAGGAUUAUUUUUCAACGAAGACGACAAUGAUGUCAUCAACCAAGAAGAACAAGGCGAUGAUCAAAGUCCUGGUACAACAGCCCCUUCGUCACCAACCAGCAGCAGCGGAAGCAGCAGCUCAGAUGAAGCACCCACAAGAACACGGAGUCUCAACGACAUCUACAAUUCUACGGAACCUGUAGAGACGCAGUUCGAUUAUUCACUAUUCUGUCUAAUGACAGAAUGUGAUCCAGUGACAUACGAAGAAGCAAUUGAAGACAAUAAAUGGAAGAAGGCCAUGGACGAGGAGAUUGCUGCAAUAAGAAGGAAUGACACGUGGGAGCUAACAAGUCUGCCAGAAGGACAUAGCCCGAUUGGUGUCAAGUGGGUGUACAAGACGAAGACCAACAAAGAAGGAAAAGUAGAGAAAUACAAGGCAAGACUAGUCGCCAAAGGCUACAAGCAAAGACAAGGAGUGGACUAUGAUGAAAUAUUUGCUCCAGUCGCAAGAAUAGACACAAUUAGGCUUCUCAUAGCGGUCGCAGCACAAUACAAAUGGAAAAUCUAUCAGAUGGACGUCAAGUCUGCAUUCCUGAAUGGCUACUUGGAGGAGGAAGUCUACAUAGAACAACCACCUGGAUAUAGCAUACAAGGAAAGGAGGACAAAGUCUACCGAUUAAAGAAAGCUUUGUAUGGAUUGAAGCAAGCCCCAAGAGCAUGGAACACAAGGAUCGACGAGUACUUCCGAAGAAAUGGAUUCAUCAAAAGCCCGCACGAGCACACCCUGUACACAAAGAAGAAUGGAUAUGGAGAUAUCAUGAUCGUAUGCCUAUAUGUGGAUGACAUGAUCUUCACCGGAAACAAUCCAGGUAUGUCUGAUGAUUUCAAGAAAGCUAUGACUAAAGAAUUUGAAAUGACAGAUAUCGGUGAGAUGUCAUACUUUCUUGGAGUCGAGGUGAAACAAAUGCAAGAUGGAAUUUUUGUCUCUCAAAAGAAGUAUGCGGAGCAGAUUUUGAACAAGUUCAAAAUGAAGGAUUGCAAGCCAGUAGUCACGCCAGCUGAUCCAGGGAUGAAGCUAAGUGUUGAUUCGACAAGGGAGUCGAUAAAUCCGACGUUGUUUAAAAGUCUCGUUGGAAGUUUAAGGUAUUUGACAAUCACACGACCAGAUAUUACAUAUGCAGUAGGAUUGGUGAGCAGAUUCAUGGAGAAGCCGAAGCAAGACCACUUAAUUGCCGCAAAAAGAAUUUUGAGAUAUAUCAAAGGUACGAUGAACCAUGGUUUAUUCUAUACCCACUCACAAGAUUCAAAAUUAGUUGGCUACUCAGAUAGCGAUUAUGGGGGAGACUUGGAUGAUCGGAAAAGCACUUCCGGAUAUGCAUUCCACAUCAAUUCCGCAGUUUUUUCAUGGUCGUCAAAGAAGCAACAAACAAUUGCUCUCUCAACAUGUGAAGCAGAGUAUAUGGCCGCAGCAACUUGUACAUGCCAAGCAAUGUGGUUGAAGAAUAUUUUGGGAGAAAUAGGUGUUUCAAAUGAAGGUCCAAUUACCAUCUACGUUGACAACAAAUCCGCUAUAUCACUUGCCAAGAAUCCGGUGUCGCACAGCCGAAGCAAGCACAUCGAUACGAAGUAUCAUUUUAUCCGAGAGCAAGUGAAAAACAAAAACGUGGAGUUGGUCCAUUGCAGGACAGAAGAUCAACUGGCAGAUAUUUUCACAAAGCCGUUGAAAGUGGAGACAUUCAACAAAUUCAAAGAGAAGCUCGGUAUGAAAGUUGGGUUUGAGGGGGAGUGUUAGAAAUCAAACCCACUCCAAGCAUAAUCUAGAAGCAUGAGACGUGGAGCAAUUUUGUGCCAUGCAAAGUGCUGAAAUUUUAGCCAUACAAAGUGCUCCAUUAUUGAGAUGUUUUGUGGCUGGAAAUUAAGUGGAUUAAUAGCCACAUUUGUUGUCACUUUAUCAGCCUAUAAAUAGAGGCUUGAACUUGUGUUGUAAAAAAGAAGAAAAAUGAGAAGAAAAAAGAAAUAAGAGAAGCAACGUGAGUGAGAGUGAGAAGGUUAGCAAACCUUGAGUGAGUUAAAAUCUAGCAGCAGCUAGACUAUCUAGUCAUUGAGAAAAUAUUUGUAAUCUUCGUAUUGUAAUAUAUUGAGUGUGUAAUAAAAAGUAAAUUUUCGGCCCAUCACGUUUCCAACAUAGCAUCCCUUGGACCCAGUGUGGUAUAAUUCUAAUCUCAAAUAUUUACUAGCAACACAAUAAGAUACUGGUUUGUGGGAUCAAUUGGUCAAAGAUAUUGCAAUGAUAGCCAUCUUUUUAAGUCCAUUUCUUUCAGAAAACUGUUUUGUCACUCUUUUCUGCAAGAUCCGAAGAAAGAAAGAACUUGGAAAUCUAUAGUCCAAAAGUGUAAAUAUGCGGUUUCUCUAUAGGUAUCUUUAUUAUGGCAUCUGUAAAGUUUGUCUUUCAUAUGUUUGAGUAACGCUUCUUCUUCCAUAUGUAGGUUCGUUUACUUAUACUACCAAAUCUUGAAGCGUAUUUGCAGCUUUUUGAACCUGAAAUAAAAAGACACGAGGCCUGGUGUGUUUAUGGGGCACUGCUGGUAAGUUUAACAUCAAAUUUGGUACCAGUUUAUGAGCAUCGUUUCAUUUAUUUGCUGUAGAACUAACAACACUGCAUAAAAUUUCCACUAACAGCGUGCAGCUGGACUGUGCAUGUAUGAUCGGCUUAAAAUGUUACCCAGUUUGCUAGCACCCUCAACUCGUCCCGUCUGGAAAAGCAACACCAAAGUUGCGACAAGUAUGAUUUCUUCGAACCAUCAUAUUUACACUUAAUCCACAAAUCUCUUCUCCCCCUUUACGAUAUUCCUUUUUCUGAUCAAUCAAGAUAAACGAAAAGCAAGCACGGACACCUUGAUGCAGCAGCAACCAACUGCCAAGAAAAUAGCAACUGAGAGUGCAAUAGGUAUGAUGCCGAUAAAUUCCAUGCAAACUGAUUUACAAGGGGCAGUUAGCGGCUUUUCUACCACCGUAGGAGGUUCCAGUAUCUGUGUAUCAUCAAUGUCACGGCCGUUAUCAAACGAUAACAUGCUUGGAAGGGAGGUUGGGGGUCGAGUUUCAAAGACAUCAACCGUUCUAGCUCAGGCUUGGAACCGGGGAACUUGUUAGCAUCAUUAUUUGAACUUUUUGGUGAAAGUAUGUUAUCAUUUACUCCCAAACCUGAGCUUUCAUUCUUCCUUUGAUUAAAUUUCACCUCCAAAAGCUAUGGUUUUUGAAGGAAUUUGUGUAAUUAAUCCCCAUAGUUUUUUUCAGUCUUACUGUGUUUAUCUUUAUAAGUCUUCUUUCUUUUUUUUCCUUGCUCAUAAAUGUAUUGUAGUUAUCAAAAAAUAUAUUCUACUUUGGAUUUUAUUUAUAUUAAAUUUUACGUUAAAUUCUGCUAUUAGUCUCUGUACUUUACGAAAAUGAUGGAUUUAGUCCUUAUACCUUAAUUUGAUCAAUUUUAGUCAUUGUAUUUUUUGAAUUGGUCAAUUUUAAACUAUCUACCUUUUAAAUUUUGAAAUUUUAGUCUUGACCCAAAUAAUAAUAAUAAUAAUAAUUAAAUCUGCUUAUUUAAAUUCAAUUAUUAGUUUUGUAUUAUGUAGACAGAUAUAGAUUUAAUCCAUAUUUUUCAAUUGGGUCAUUCCAAGUCUUUAUACUUUUCAAAUUUUGAAAUUUCAAUAUUGAUGCAGAACGAGAGUUGUUAUUAAUUAAUUGAUUAUUUAGCAAGUAUAUGUAGAAAUAACAAGUUGGCAUGUCAUUAUACUUAAAAAAAUAUAUUGGCUUAACCCACCUAAAUUAUGUCUUUUUUUCCAUCUUCGGACCUCAAUUUUUUUAGGGUCAUAAGUGGUACCUAAACUACUUUUUUUCUCCUUCAAAUUAGUAUCUUCAUUAGUUAAACCGUUAAGUCUAUUUAAAAAAGAAAGACUCGAACAACAAAUUAAUACCUAAAACAAUGCUCUUUUUCCCAAUGUAUCUAAUUUUUAUUUUGGCCAUAAGUACUACUAAAACUAUUCUUCCGUUACUCGUUUUACACAAAAUGUUAUAUCGGCUAAAAAGAUUGCAACAAAUAAUAGAUUGUAUGUCAUAUAAACUUUUAAAAAUAAUUAUUAAUUAAUUAUUUUUUAUAUUUUUCUUUCUUAUUCCUUUAUAAUGUUUGACAAUGCCGAUAAUGUUUGAAAUUGGCCCACUUGAGGUCGAAACGCUGGUGAUUAAUUUUGGUUUUGAAUUUCACCACCUAUUUCUCUGACCUGAGGGGAUAAAAAAUGUUCUUUCAUUGAUCAAAACUAGUGUUUUCAAAAACAGACUGAUUCAACCGGAAAUAGGGGUUGAAUCAUUGACUUGCGAGCAAAAACAAAUCAGUUGAACUAAGCUAAAAAAAACUAGUUGAACUAGUUCUCUCUAUUUAUAUAUAUAAAAAUAAUAAUAGUCUUUUUUUUAUUACAUGUCAAUUUUUAUUUGGUUAUUUUUUUUUCAUAUAAACUGAACGGUUUGACUAAUGACGGAGGUACCAAAUUAUAGUCUAGGUACCAAUUUAUGGGUUAAGCCUAUUUCUAAAAUAGACUUUUGACUAAUGGCGGUAGUAACUUGGGAAAAAAAAGUAGUUUAUGUACCACUUGUGACCAAAAAUAAGUUUAGGUACCAACAUCGUAAAAUGAGUAUAAUUUAGAUACCGAUUUAUGAGUUAAGCCUAAUAUAUUUGUCGCAUCAUUUUUUAAAAAUAACAGAACUUAAUAAAUUUAACGAUUAUUGUUUGAUGAUGACUAAAAUUUUAAAAUUUGAAAAGUACAUGAACUAAAAAUGACCAAAUUAAAGUAUAAAGAUUAAGUCCACAACUUUUGCAAAGUACAAGGACUAAUAGCAGAAAUUAACCUAAAUUUCAUAUGGGUCAAUUACAAAAAUAAUCACUAAGCUAUUCCUUUGGUUCUAUUCUAGUCAUUCAACUAUAGAGGUGCUCAUGAGUUGGGCCAGGUCAGGCCUAAGGAUGAUAUUAACGUACUUUAUACUUGCUCAAGCUUGGCUCGGCCCGAAAUAUGAGCUUAAAUUUUCACCUAAACUCAUCCAUAUUUGCAAAAGACUAACGCAAGCUCAUUUUAGGCAUGCUUAUAUAAUUUUUAGUUUUUGUUUAAAUAUUUAUAUUAUAUUAUUUUAAUAUUUAAUAAUUUAAACAUUUUUUAUUUAUUGAAAAUUUUUAUAUAGUCAUCUAAUUAACAUUAUUUUAAUGUUUACAUUAUAGUAUUAUUAUAUAUUUAAUAUAAGUUUAUUUUUUAAUCUGUUCUAAAUUUUAUAAUAUAAAGUAUUAUACACUUAAAAAUGGGCCGGGCUGGGCUCGAGCUUUGAAUGUUCAAGCCUGAACCCAGCCCAAAUUUUAAACGGGCCUAUUUUUUUUUUACCCAAACCUAAUUUUUGGGCCUAAUAUUUUUAUCCAGACCCUCCCAAAUUUUUGGACCUUGCCAAGUAGCCCAACUCAUUAACAAGUUUACUCAACUAUUAAUUUUUUCGAUUUAGUUGUUAACCUUUUCGAAAGUAAAUAUUUUAGUCACUCUCCUGUUAGUUGUUGCUAAAUGAGUGACGGAAAGCUAAUGUGGGUUUUUUUUAUUAGUCUAAUAACAAAUUUAGCCCUAAAUGUUAACAAAACUUGUCAUUUUAGUUCAAAUUCUAAAAAUUUUAAUAAAUUUAACCCUUAAUAUUUUCAAAAAUUAGCAAUUUAGUUCUAAUUCUAAAAAUUUUAAUAUAUAUUUAAAAAAAUAUUUUUAAUCCUCUGUCUCACCCUUUGAUUUUUUUAGAUGAGCUAAAAUCAAAACAUAUCGUUAUAUCUUUUUGUUUUAAUGCUAAAAGAGAUAAAAAAAAUGAAAAGCUAAAAUGACUUUUCGUUUGUAAAGUUAAAAAAUGCUAAAUAAAUCAUUAUGUCUUUUUAGUUUUAAUUUUUUACUUGAUUAAAAGAGAAAUAAUUAACGAAUAAAAAAUAAUUAUUCCCAAAUAAAUUUAUCAAAAUUUAUAAUAAAUGAGAUUUUGAAUUUAUCAAAAUAUAUAUAAGUAUACACAUUUUUAUGAAAUAUAAGAUUUUGCUAAAAGAAAAAGCAUACAAAAGUAUACACCUUUUUAUGAAACACAAGAUUUUGCUAAAAGAAAAAUAUAUGGUAAAAGGAAGACUAAGUGGUGGUUAAAAAAUACAAAAAAUUUUGAAAAUCUAAUAUCCAUAACUUUUCAAUGUAAAAGAAAAACAGACUGUAACACCAAUGUUGUGGUUUUAUUUGUUGCCUAUAAAUGCCAUUCCUAUCCUUCAUCUUCCUCUACCAACAUAACAUGGCCUCCUAUCUCUUUCUCUGCCUAUUCCUCUUCUUUCCCCAUCUUUAUGCUUCUUUUUCUUCUUCAGGAUCUCACUCCUGCUCUUCACUAACCCAGUUCAAGAAUUCUUUUUCCAUCACUCAGACAGAGGGUGCUUCUUUGUCUUGCAAUGAGAUUGCUGGCCUUAAAUCUUAUCCCAAGACAAAUUCAUGGAAGGAGGGUACAGAUUGCUGCUCAUGGGAUGGGGUCACUUGUGACCACCUAAAUGCUCAUGGUAUUGCCCUUGACUUGAGCUGCAGUUGGCUAUAUGGCAACUUCCCUCCCAAUACCACUCUCUUCCUUCUUCCUCACCUUCAAAAACUCAACCUUGCCUUCAAUGAUUUUAAUCUUUCCAAAAUUCCAUCCGAGUUCGGUGGGUUUACAAGCCUAUUCUACCUCAACCUUUCUCAUACAGGGUUUGCAGGACAAGUCCCAUCCCAAGUCUCCCACCUGUCAAAAUUGGUUUCACUUGAUAUCUCCUCUUCGAUUUAUGACUAUGAGAAAUUUACAAUUGACAAACAUGCUCUGGAGGGACUUGUUCACAACCUAUCCGAGGUCAGACAUCUGUUUUUGGAUGGAAUGGACAUGUCUUCUGUUAAUGCUCAUGUCUUCAUGAAUCUAUCCUCUUCUCUAAGGUCUCUCAGUCUUGCUUAUUGUGAUUUGCAAGGAAAAUUCCCAAAAAACAUUUUUGAUUUGCCAAACCUCAAUCUCCUCAACUUGGGAAGCAACCCAAUCCUCAGUCUUGAUCCUUUGAAGUUGAAUCGGAGCAGCAAUCUUGAACAUUUGGAUCUGUCGUCCAUGUCCUUCUCUACAGAAUUCAUUGAUUCAGUUGAUAAUCUACAGGCCUUAAAGUACUUAGAUCUAUCAGGACAUUUUUUCUCUCAACGAUUGUCUGUCUCAAAAACAAAAUCGGGGUACUUGUUUACUGGAGACGCAAAUUUUUUUGGAGGAUUGCCUGACUCGAUGGGGAAUCUUGUGUCUUUGAAGUUUUUAGAUCUCUCCUAUUCCAACUUAUCAGGAACGGUUCCAAGAUCACUGGGGAAUCUCUUGCAACUCACUCAUUUAGACUUGUCGGGGAACCAAUUUAGUGGACAAAUUCCAUCGUCAAUUCUAAACCUAACGCAGUUGGAAUACUUGAAAAUAUCUGAAAAUUCAUUAGAAGGUUCCAUUCCAGAUGAGGUAACCGCUUUUCCUAAUUUAAUAUAUUUAUACUUAGAUAACAAUUUACUUAAUGGAAUACUUCCGUCAUGGUUGUAUACUGCUCCCCCCUUAAAGAGAAUAGAUCUCUCUAAAAAUCAAUUCAGUGGACAUAUCAAAGAAUUCCAAUCCAAAUCACUAGAAUUGAUAUGGUUAGAGAAUAAUAAACUCCAAGGUCCUCUUCCAUCUUCAAUAUUCCAACUUCUCAAUCUUACCGGACUCAAGUUAUCCUCAAAUAAUCUUAGUGGUGUCAUAGAGUUUAGCAUGUUCUCAAACCUUCCAAAUCUCGAAUAUCUUGACCUUUCAUAUAACAGCCUAUCCUUAACAUCUAAUACUACUUCUACUGUUAAUCUUACAAGCUUAUUUUUGUCAUCUUGCAAUCUUAGUGAAUUCCCCCAAUUUUUGAAAGGGCUUAAAAGUUUGGAAAGCUUAGACCUCUCUUGCAACAAAAUUGAAGGCAAGAUUCCACAGUGGAUGCAAGAGGUGGGGAAUGGCUCUUUGACUUACUUAAAUGUAUCUCACAACUCUUUGACAGAAGUUGAGCACUUUCCAUGGAAUAAUAUUGCAGUUCUUGACUUAAGCUCCAAUUUGAUCCGUGGAAAUCUUCCGAUUCCAGCUUCGACCAUAAGAGUCUUUUUGAUCUCAAAUAAUAGUUUCAAUGGAGAGGUCUCUUCUUUAAUAUGCAAUGCCACUUAUCUUCAAAUUCUUGAUUUGUCCCACAAUUACUUGAGUGGAUCAAUUCCGCAAUGUUUUGGAAAUUUGAGCUACUGGCUUGAAUUCUUGAAUCUGAAGAAGAAGUUUUAUGGGACGAUUCCUCCAGCAUUCGCAAAGGGAUGCCAAUUGAGUAAUUUCAACUUAAAUGGAAAUCUGUUAGAAGGGCCUUUGACACCAUCCAUCCUUAAUUGUAGAGGUCUGGAAGUGCUAGAUCUUGGUAACAACAAGAUCAAUGAUACAUUUCCUCAUUGGUUGGGCAGUCUUCCAUUUUUGCAAGUUCUUGUAUUGAAGGCUAUCAUAAAUCUAGAGAAGAUUGGGAGUACAAUGUCGUACAUGGGGGUGAAUUGUCCUGGAAGUGGCUUCUAUACCUAUUCCAUUGGAAUUGUUAUGAAAGGACAAGAUAUGGACUUGGUGAAAAUUUUCACCAUGUGGAUGAUCAUUGAUCUAUCAAACAAUCAGUUUGAAGGGGGUAUUCCAGAGGUUUUUGGGAAGCUUAACUUACUGAAAGGGCUCAACCUUUCUCAUAAUAACCUUAAUGGUGGUAUCCCCACCUCAAUAGGGAAUUUGACAAGUCUUGAAUGGUUGGACCUAUCUUCAAACAGGUUGUCUGGGACGAUUCCAAAUAGAUUGGCAGAUCUGCCAUUUCUUUCGUCCUUCAAUGUUUCUGAAAAUAAACUCCAUGGUCAGAUUCCUCAAGGCAAACAGUUAAACACAUUUGGAAAUGAUUCAUAUGAAGGAAACAAGGGAAAAUAAACUCCAUGGUCAGAUUCCUCAAGGCAAACAGUUCAACACAUUUGGAAAUGAUUCAUAUGAAGGAAACAAGGGAUUAUGUGGAUUUCCGGUCUCAAAAGGUUGCAACAUCAUUGAGCCACCACCUCCAAAUGUGCUUGAAAAAGAUGGCUCAAAAUCAAACAUUACUUUUGGUUGGAAAGUGGUGUUGAUAGGUUAUGGAUGCGGAGUGGUGUUCGGAAUGUCCGUGGGAUAUGUUGUUUUCCAAACUGGUAAGCCGAAAUGGUUGGUGAAUUUGUUGAAAUCCAACAUGAGAAGAAGCGAAGAAGAAAGUCAAAGGAUGGCAGUCGCAGAAAUGGACGAAGAAGGAUCUAGUUAGUGGAAAUGAUGUUCAAGUGUUGAUGUUGUAUCUUCAUAAUUUCUUGUUUUGAAGUCUUUCAAUUUUUUUCCUAUGGUGAAAGGUUGCAUUGGCAUGCAUCUGUCUUUGUUAUUGUGACAAUUCAUCUAUAUUUCAUUGCAUUACAUAGUAUUUGUAAGGGUUUGUUUUAAAUGUAACAUUUUGUAUGGUUCAACUAUUUAUGUCUUCUUUCAUGACUUUCAUUUUUGAGUCUCAAUAAUCUCUGCAUUCAAGAUUUUGUCAGCUUAUUAAUUGGUAAAAAUUAUAUGAAUAAACUUUUAUAAAUAUAAAUAUGAAUAAACUUUUAUAAAUAUAAAGUGUAAUUUAUGAGUCGAGUUAUUCAAUAAGAAAAAAAAACCCUCAUUUCAAUGUUCAAUAUAUAUGAAAUUCUACAAAAUUAAUUUCUUCUAAUAUUUUUACUUUUUGUGAUUAAGUUUAAAAUACUUUUCAAUUACUAAAUCUUAGUCCGAGCCAACCUAUUGGCUCGACUAACUAUUUAGAAAAUAUAAUAUGUUUAUAUUAAAAAUUUUAUAUUUAAAUAAAAAUUCAAGACGAGUUGUCUAGAAUUUGUGAAAAUGCUGUCCACGACCUAGCACAUAUUGGACAAUCCUAUUGAACUAGGUAGGUAGUGUGAGCUUGCCUUGAAAGUGCUAAUAAAUCCAAUUGAGUCAAGACUUAAGACUUCUUAUUCAACUUUAGACCCAAAUUGGGUAAUCAUAUUAGACGGAUAGUUUGAUACUUAAAUAUAUCUAAUCACAAUAUAUAUAAUUAAAUGAGCAAACAUAAAACCUUGGUUCUAAAACUCCAUGCUUCCUCUUUUGUUAACUUUAUGUUUAACUCUUCGGCCAACUUUUUCAAAUGUUGUAAGGUUCCCACUGUCAGUAUUAUACCAUUUUGAUCUCCACUAUUACAUUAUAAUCAUAUUAAAAAAAUAAAAAAAAUAGAAAAAAAUCAGUCAAAUGGCAUGAUAAUUUCUUUUCAAAAUUGUUCACUUUGAUUCUUCAUACAUAUUUAACUUAUUUCAAGAAAGUAUUGGAAAAAAUUAUGGCAUACAAAUAUAAUACUAACCUGAAUAUUGUAAUGGGAAUGGCUUGUUGAAGAAGGUUUUUAAGUGCAGGGAGCAUGUCAAGGUCCUUAUCAGCUUCGUUGUAUUUAAAAUUAGUUCUAAAAAAAUAAGAGUGAAAUAUAAUGAAAAUUUUAAGGCUAGCAAUUUUUACACGACAUUCACCUCAAUAAACAAGUAAUUUAUUUUAUUUUCUUAAGAAAUAGGUGACAAUAUAGAAAGAGAAAAAUUGACCGCGAGUUUUAAAACUUGAAUUUAAAAUAAUUUCUAAAAAGUAUUUAUAUGAAUAUAUUGGAAAAAAAGUUCAUCUUGUCUCAAAUUUUAGGGGAAAACUUACGUGAAAUAACCCUUCCAUCUAUAUGACAAGUUGGUUCGAAUCCCAUGGAAAGCUUUUUGAACUUCUGAAAGAAUAAAGUAAAAUUGCACUCUUAAUGGAAGACACAUGUCUACUUCUGUGCUAACUAUAAGAACCAAUACUAAAAAAUAAAGUUUUACGCUUUUGAUAUAACCAAUAAAAGAAAAAUAACACAAAAUCAAUUUUACUCAAUUGAUCAGUUAAUUCAAUUCUAUAGGAACUUAUGUUAUAUGUAGUUUCGAGUUGAAGUAAAAUAAGAGGAAUGUAAAGAACUAAAUGAAAACAUGUUUUCCCAAGUCCAAAUCUAGCUCAUUUUCAGCAUUAGGAGGGCGAAAGACAACAAAUAGCUUUUGUCAGGAGUAAUUAUGAGCAUUGGUCUUGAAAGUAGCCAAACCGGCCUCGAACUCAAGGUUUUUGCAUUUUGCGCUUCAAGUGGUUGCAGCAUCAAUGAGACACGACCUCCAAAUGUGCUGGAAAAGGAUGGCUCAAAAGCAAACAUUGCUUUUGGUUGGAAAGUGGUGUUGGUAGGUUAUGGAUGCCGGGUAGUGUUUGGAAUGGCCAUGGGAUGUGUUGUUUUCCAAACUGGUAAGGCAAAAAGGUUCGUGAAUUUGGUUGAAGACCAACAUGAGAAGAGGCGAAGAAGAAAGCCAAAAUAUAGCAAUAUCGCAUCAAUGGAUGAAGAAGGAUCUAGUUGGUUCAAAUGAAGUUAAAGCAUUUGUGCUGUGUCUGCAUAAUUUCUUGUUUAGUAGUCUGUCAGAAAGUUUUUCCUAUGGUGAAAAGUUGCAUUGGUAUGUGUCUGUUUUUAUGAUUGUACCAAUUCCUCUGUAUUUCAUUGCAUUUCGUACUAUUUGUAAGGAUUUAGUUCUAGUGUAACAUCUUGUAUGGUGCAACUAUGUAUGUCUUCUUUCUUGAAUUUCAAUUUUUAGUAAACAUUAUACUGCUCAACAUAAAAAAAAUACAUGUAGAAUUACAAAAGAUUCAAUUAUUCAAGUUCGAGUUGCAUUUAUAAACACGUGACGAUGAGAAUUCAUGAUGUGUUAUAAGCAAGAAGACUUUGUAAUCUCAUGAAUGUUAAUUAUUUUACUUCUUUGGUAAAAAAAAGUAAUCAAUCUUAUGAAUGAAAAAUAUAGGGUAAAGAGGAAGUAGUUGUUAACCUUUUCGAUUUAGUUGUUAACCUUUUCGAAAGUAAAUAUUUUAGUCACUCUCUUGUUAGUUGUUGUUAAAUGAGUGACCAAAAGCUGAUGUGGGCUUUUUUUAUUAGUCUAAUAACAAAUUUAGGCCUCCAAUGUUUACACAUUCUAUCAAUUUGAUCCUAGAUAUAAAAAAAAUCAACAAAUUUAGCCCUGAAUGUUAACAAAACUUGUGAUUUUAGUUCAAAUUCUAAAAAAUUUAAUAAAUUUAACCCUUAAUAUUUUCAAAAAUUAGCAAUUUAGUUCUAAUUCUAAAAAUUUUAAUAUAUAUAUAUUUUAAAAAAUAUUUUUAAUCCUCUGUCUCACCCUUUGAUUUUUUAGAUGAGCAAAAAUCAAAAUAUAUCAUUAUGUCUUUUUGUUUUAAAGCUAAAAGAGAUAAAAAAAAUGAAAAGCUAAAAUGACUUUUCGUUUGUAAAGUUAAAAAAUGCUAAAUAAAUCAUUAUGUCUUUUUAAUUUUAAUUUUUUACUUGAUUAAAAGAGAAAUAAUUAACGAAAGAAAAAUAAUUAUUCCCAAAUAAAUUUAUCAGGUUUUAGAUUUAAAUUAUGAGGCUAUAUAUAUAUAUAAGUAUACACAUUUUUAUGAAAUACAAGAUUUUGCUAAAAGAAAAAGCAUCCAAUUUUAAGAAUGAAAAAUAUAAAUCCUUUCAUUUUGAAUUGCAACUUUAUCCUGCCUAAAUUCCUCAACCAUGAACCACCCAUCAGGGCAGCCUCAAAAUGAACUUCCUUGGUCCGCCGGAUUCUGCGAUUGUUGCUCUGACCUGAAAACUUGUAACCCUUUCUUCUUUCUUCAAAAUCAGUUGUGUCAUUUUAAAUAUAUGAAUUAGUUUAUCAAUUAAAUAUAUGGACAUUUCAGGUUGCAUUUCAUACUGUUGCCCAUGCAUCACCUUUGGCCAGAUUGCUGAGAUUGUUGAUAAAGGGUCGACUUGUAAGUUAUUAAUUUCUAAAUUGAAAUCUUAUCAUCUUAGGUUUGCAGACAUAUAUAUAUUUAAAGAGAUAUUAUGUAAUUAAUAAUAAUGUUGAAAAACACUGUUGGAUGGUGCAGCAUGUGGGGCAAGUGGGGCAGUAUACACAUUAAUAAUGUUCAUCACCGGGUGUGGGUGCUUAUAUUCUUGCUGCUACCGAUCCAAACUGAGAAAGCAGUAUAACUUGAAAGGAGGCCAUUGUGGCGAUUGCAUGCGUCAUUUCUGCUGCGAGCCUUGUGCUUUGACACAAGAGUAUCGUGAGCUCCAGAACCGUGGAUUCGACAUGUCUAUCGGUAUGUCUACAUACCAAUAUUAUACCCCUUUUAAUUAUUCUUAAUAUAACUUCAAGUAUAUUAAUUGAGUAGCUGUAAACAAAUAUCUCCGAAUAAAUAUGUUAGUAAUGAUGAGAUAAAUUAUUGUUUGAGGUCAUUAAUUUUGUGGGGGUAUAUUUAUAUAUGCAGGUUGGCAUGCAAAUGUGGGAAGAACCCAGGGCUGGCAAUGGCUCCAGCGGUAGAAAAAGGCAUGAGCAAAUAGAUGAUGAUGAUGAUCGCUGCAUUAAUAUCGUCUUUAUAUGUAACACUUAAUUCCUUUGCUUUCCAUAAUUGGUGCCAAUUGGAUUUCAAGUUAUGUAUGUUUGUGAUUGUCAAAAUGUGACUCUGUUAAAUAGUAAAUAGCAUUUUUUAAAAGGGUUCAUAUAUAUCGUGAUACCUAAAGUUGGCAACUUCUACUUUGUAUCAAAAUCGGUACAUAAACUUGAAAAUUGUAAGUCAACUUGGUAUCGGUACAUAAACUUGAAAAUUGUAAGUCAACUUGGUAUUUUUAUAAGUAUGAUGAUGUUGGUGUAGUGUGAGGAAGAAGACUUGAAUGGGUUUGAUUAUUUUUAAUAAUACAGGAAUUUACGUAUUAUAAGUAAAUAGACACUCACAUUCUUUACGUAUUAUAAGGAAGAAGACUAAGUCAAUCUACUUUGUAAUCUCAUCAAUCUUAAUUUUCUCAAUUGUUCAGGGAGUUCAAAUGAAAUACAAAAUUUUGGUAAAAAAAUGUAUCCAAUUUUGUGAAUGAAAAAUAUAUGGUAAAAAAGAUUUGGUAUCAAUACUUCGGCGCGGGUAUCAAUACUCGAUACAUUGCUUUUGGUUGGAAAGUAGUGUUUGGAAUGGCCAUGGGAUGUGUUGUUUUCCAAACCGGUAAGGCGAAAAGGUUUGUGAAUUUGGUUGAAGACCAACAUGAGAAGAGGCGAAGAAGAAAACCAAAAUAUAGCAAUCGCAUCAAUGGAUGAAGAAGGAUCUAGUUGGUGCAAAUGAAGUUAAAGCCUUUCUGCUGUGUCUUCAUAAUUUCUUGUUUAGUAGUCUGUCAGAAAGUUUUUCCUAUGGUGAAAAGUUGCAUUGGUAUGUGUCUGUCUUUAUGAUUGUACCAAUUCCUCUGUAUUUCAUUGCAUUUUGUACUAUUUGUAAGGGUUUAGUUCGAGUGUAACAUCUUGUAUGGUGCAACUAUGUAUGUCUUCUUUCUUGAAUUUCAAUUUUUAGUAAACAUUAUACUGCUCACCAUAAAAAAAGAUACAUGAAGAAUUACAAAAUAUUCAAUUAUUCAAGUUCGAGUUGCAUUUAUAAACACGUGAUGAUGAUGAGAAUUCAUGAACAUAAGGUAUGGUUUGAGCCCUUUUGCCAUAUGCAUUUAUGUUGCAGGCGUUCAAACAUGGAAUAAUUCAACCUGCCUUUGUGUAUUCUUAAUUUUGUGCCAAACCUAUAUAUCUAUCGACAAAUUUAAGAAAAAUAUUUACAAUAGCAUUGCAGAGUAACAUAUUUAAGAUUGGAUUACACUGUCAAAAGAUUGCAGCAACGAUGAGAUUAAUCCAAUUACAGGAAUUGAUAUCCUAAAUGGCUUUUAGGUACGUAGCUUCAUUGACGGUACAAACGAGUUAAAAAUUCCAGCAUUCAUGUCUUUGUUUUCCCUCAAGUAAACGUAGUCAAUACUGCAAAUGGUGUGGAAGUAUUGUACAUUGUGGCCCAAAUGUCCAAAAUUUCCACAUUGCUUGUAAGUUAAGUUUGGAUGAGAGAGAUAGGAGGAAGCAACAGCAAGUGUGAAGUCAAUAGACAAUUGAUAGUCUUAGUGUUUGUCUUUUUUUGUCGAGUUAAAGUGUAGUCAAUAGACAAUUGAUAGUCUUAGCCCUUUUUGUGGAGUUAAAUUUAUAGUCAAUAGACAAUUCGAGUGGAACAUCUUGUAUGGUGCAACUAUGUAUGUCUUCUUUCUUGAAUUUCAAUUUUAGUAAACAUUAUACUGCUCACCAUAAAAAAAAUACAUGUAGAAUUACAAAAGAUUCAAUUAUUCAAGCUGUUUGAGUUGCAUUUAUAAACACGUGACGAUGAGAAUUCAUGAACAUAAGGUAUGGUUUGAGCCCUUUUGCCAUAUGCAUUUAUGUUGCAGAUGUUCAAACAUGGAAUAAUUCAACCUGCCAUAAGCAAGUGUGAAGUCAAUAGACAAUUGAUAGUCUUAGUCUUUGUCUUUUUUUGUCUGAGUUAAAGUGUAGUCAAUAGACAAUUGAUAGUCUUAGCCCUUUUUGUGGAGUUAAAUUUAUAGUCAAUAGACAAUUGGGACCAAACUUGACCUGUUAUAAGGAAGAAGACUUUGUAAUCUCACCAAUGUUAAUUAUUUUACUUCUUUGGUAAAAAAAAGUAAUUAAUUUUAUGAAUGAAAAAUAUACGGUAAAGAGGAAGUAGUUGUUGAUCACUAAUAACAUGAUGAUUGUGGAAAUACAAAAAAUCCCAUAUAUGUGUUGAAUUCUGCAUAAUGUAAAUGUCCCGCAUUGCAUGUGAAUUCUGCAAUAGACCAAACUUUAUGUGUUAUAGUCCUUUAAACUGAGUUAAUGAAAAGUAACCAUUCUUAUCAAAAUUAGUUAUACUCUUAAUUUAUAACAAAGAAAGGAGUAAUUUGAGUUUAACUCAAAGGUUAAUAUGUCAUCAAUGGGCGAUGGCGUGGUGCUACCAUGUCAGCCAUUAUUUUCUUCUUUGAGUUAAGGUGAUUUCACCAAUUUAAGUUUACUUUUUUACUUCAAUUUAGGUUUAUGCUUAUUACCUUCGAAGAUUCUAAGUGGGUGCCACAACCAAAGGGUGAGUAAAAAGGGUUAAAAAUAAUUUUUUUAAAAAUAUUUUUAUUUUUAUUAAAAAUUUAGAAUUAGAAUUAGAUAAAUUUUGUAAAUGUUAAGGGCUAACUUUAUUAAUUUUUUUUUCAUAAUUCGAACUAAAAUGACAAAUUUUGUAAAAAGCGCUAAAUUAGUUGAAUUUUUUAUAUUUAGGAUUAAAUUGAUAGAAUGUGUAAAUAUUAGAGGUUAAAAUUGUUAUUAGAUCAAUAAAAAACCCAUAUCAGCUUUCCGUCACUCAUCUAUCUACAACUAAAGGGAGAGCGAUUAAAAAAUUAGAAUGUUUGGAUCAUUUUUCUAAUUAAAGUCAUAGUGUAGGAGGCAAUUAAAUGCAUGCGCCACUCACGGUGGACGGUUUUGACAGCUGAUGACGUUGACAGUGCUCUUAAUCUGAGAAACGUGGAGGUACAUUUUCAAGUUUCAAAAAUUUUCUGUUUAUUGUAUUUUUUUAUUAUUCUUUUUCCUUUUUAGUUGAAAAUAGUGCUAAUUAAUGUUAUUUGUUUGACUAAUGUGAUAAUUUCUACUUCAUGUGUAUUAAUCCAUAAAUUUUAACAAGAGUGGAAUUUUGAGAACUUAGUUUUGGAAGUUUGAAUCUUAAGUUUAACCUGCUGCUUUAGAUUUUGCAUUUUGGUUAACUGGCUUGUGUUAUGUGUUUCUCUGGCAUCAGCCGAUAUGUGGAUUUGCCCCUCGUGAUGCACUACGAUUCAAGAAAGCUGCUGGGCAUAAGGAUUUGUUCUACAUUGAUGACAAAGAUGUGGAGUUUAAAGAAGUAGGAACUUAUCAACAAUAUUCGAGAUUCUGUUAUAUGUUGCCUUAUGUAUGUAGGUUCUUGAGUCACCUUUGCCAAGAGCACCACGUGAAUUUAUAUAAGUAUACACAUUUUUAUGAAAUACAAGAUCUUGCUAAAAGAAAAAGCAUAUAAAAGUAUAAACGUUUUUAUGAAAUACAAGAUUUUGCUAAAAGAAAAAGCAUCCAAUUUUAAGAAUGAAAAAUAUAUGGUAAAAGCAUCCAUAACUUUUCAAUGUAAAAGACAAAAAAGACUGUAACACCAAUGUUGUGGUAUUAUUUGUUGCCUAUAAAUACCAUUCCUAUCCUUCUUCUUCCUCUACAAACAUAACAUGGCCCCCUAUCUCUUUCUCUGCCUAUUCCUCUUCUUUCCCCAUCUUUAUGCUUCUUUUUCUUCUUCAGGAUCUCACUCCUGCUCUUCACUAAUCCAAUUUAAGGACUCUUUUUCCAUCACAGAGGAUGCUUCCUGGUAUUGCGAUGAGAUUGCUGGCCUUAAAUCUCAUCCCAAGACAGAUUCAUGGAAGGAGGGUACAGAUUGCUGCUCAUGGGAUGGGGUCACUUGUGACCACCUAAAUGCUCAUGUUAUUGCCCUUGACUUGAGCUGCAGUUGGCUAUCUGGCAACUUCCCUUCCAAUACCACUCUCUUCCUUCUUCCUCACCUUCAAAAACUCAACCUUGCCUACAAUCAUUUCAAUCAUUCCAAAAUUCCAUCCGAGUUCGGUCGGGUUUACAAGCCUAUUCUACCUCAACCUUUCUAAUACAUGGUUUGCAGGAGAAGUCCCAUCCCAAGUCUCGCACCUGUCAAAAUUGGUUUCACUUGAUCUCUCCUCUGAGUUUGGUGAACAAACAAUUGACAAACAUGCUCUGGAGGGACUUGUUCACAACCUAACCGAGGUCAGACAUCUGUUUUUGGAUGGAAUGGACAUGUCUUCUGUUAAUGCUCAUGUCUUCAUGAAUCUAUCCUCUUCUCUAAGGUCUCUCAGUCUUGCUUAUUGUGAUUUGCAAGGAAAAUUCCCAAAAAACAUUUUUGAUUUGCCAAACCUCAAUCUCCUCAACUUGAGAGGCAACCAAAACCUCAAUCUUGAUCCUUUGAAGUUCAAUCGGAGCAGCAAUCUUGAACAUUUGGAUCUGUCGUGGAUGUCCUCCUCUACAGAAUCCAUUGAUUCAGUUGAUAAUCUACAGGCCUUAAAGUACUUAGCUCUAUCAGGAAAUUCUUUCUUUCAACGAUUGUCUGUCUCAAUCACAAAAUUAUCUUAUUUGGAGUACUUGACACUUGAAGGCGCAAAUUUUUUUGGAGGAUUGCCUGACUCGAUGGGGAAUCUCGUGUCCUUGAAGUGUUUAGACUUGAGAUCAAACAAAUUGAGUGGACAAAUUCCAUUGUCAAUUCUAAACCUAACGCAGUUGGAAUACUUGGAUAUAUCUGAAAAUUCAUUAGAAGGUUCCAUUCCAGAUGAGGUAACCGCUUUUCCUAAUCUAAAACAUUUAGACUUAUCUGACAAUUUACUCAAUGGAACACUUCCGUCAUGGUUGUGUACUGUUCCCUCCUUAAAGAUAAUAUUUCUCUUUCAAAAUCAAUUCAGUGGGCAUAUCAAAGAAUUCCAAUCCAAAUCACUAGAAUUGAUAGUGUUACAGAAUAAUAAACUCCAAGGUCCUCUUCCAUCUUCAAUAUUCCAACUUCUCAAUCUUACAUCGCUUGCUUUAUCCUCAAAUAAUCUUAGUGGUGUCAUAGAGUUUAGCAUGUUCUCAAACCUUCCAAAUCUCGAAUAUCUUGACCUUUCAUAUAACAGCCUAUCCUUAACAUCUAAUACUACUUCUACUGUUAAUCAUAUAUUGCCUAAUCUUACAGACGUACUUUUGUCAUCUUGCAAUCUUAGUGAAUUCCCCCAAUUUUUGAAAGGGCUUAAAAGUUUGGAAAGGUUAGACCUCUCUUGCAACAAAAUUGAAGGCAAGAUUCCACAGUGGAUGCAAGAGGUGGGGAAUGUCUCUUUGACUUACUUCAACGUAUCUCACAACUCUUUGACAGAAGUUGAGCACUUUCCAUGGAAGAAUAUUGCAUUUCUUGACUUAAGCUCCAAUUUGGUCAGUGGAAAUCUUCCGAUUCCAGCUUC
Molecule: long non-coding RNA, 66644 nt
Filed under: Gossypium barbadense (sea-island cotton)
Lineage: Eukaryota; Viridiplantae; Streptophyta; Magnoliopsida; Malvales; Malvaceae
Description: long non-coding RNA (GBAR_LNC016765)
Source: RNAcentral